AUCAAGAAGGACGACCCUAGUGUUCCAAGCAUCGAGUGCACAAUCAACAGAUACUCUUUUUAGAAGACACUCUACGACACCGGAUCUGACGUCAACAUAAUGGCCGCAGUCACUUAUCAGCUCCUGCAUGGAACCAUGCCCCUACAACCAAUAUAUAUUCAGCUCCAGAUGAUUUUCAGAUCAUUGACAUGGGAGAAGACGAGUACGAUCCACCCACCAUCCUAGGAAGACCGUUCCUCAACACUAUCAAAGCAAUCAUCUACAUUGGAAGCGGAGAAGUCCACAUAUACUUCCCCUCUGAGAAGGUACGCAGCUAUUUUACUGACCUUAACUAUAUAGUUGAAGACUCUAAGCAGGUCAGGACAAGAAGAAGACAACGCAACCGCAACCAGAGAAGGCGAAUCAUCAAGGACGGAUGGAUAGAUUACGAAGGAGAAGUGAUAAGGUCUGAAGACAUACAGCUUGAACAGAACUGUCCUGAGGAGACCGUAGCACCGAGUCAGGUGUGGAGAGAGAAGAUAGUUGCACACGAAGAGGAGGCGCCGCCGGAACCACCGACUACGCCACCUAGCGAAUCCCAGGAUGAUAGAAAACGGAGAGUCCCGUUCGGAGGACUUAAAAACACCAAACGCCUUGCCAAGAGAUAAACUUGGUAGUUAUCCUUUUCCUUUCAAUUAUUUAAAAUAGUUUACUUAGUUAAUCAGGUUCAUGCUAUCUUAAAAAGAAUAUAAAAAUGUUAAAAAAACAGUAAGCCCCAUGUGAGUAUACGAGUGGCAUAAAACCCAUAAGUACAUUCACUGUGGUGGCGUAAAAAUAAAAUAAAUAUAUUCUUGUCCUAUAAAUAUAAAAAUAUAAAAAUAAAUUUACGAUCCUACUAAAGAGAGUAACAUUUAUUGAGGAGGCUCAACAUGAUAAAGGCUAGAUAUUUAUGCUAACACUUAACCAGUUCCACAAAGCUUUGUUGUCUAUUUGAGCUCCACAGAAUUCAAUGAUCAAAGAAGACUAGUAGACGAAGGACAUCCUAAUCGCUGUCAGGGUGCUGCCGACUUUCAAAAACACCUCCACCACCUGCUAGCUACAUCAGAAGAAAUUACGUCAAAAUCCAGCUUGGGGGAGAGCACCCCCAUUUAUCCAGCUAAGUGUUUCUACUCGCGUUUAUACUUUGCUCAAAUAAUAAAAAGAUGCAUAAUCAUGAAAAUCCAAAUAAAGAUUUUGUGCUUUUAUAUAUAUAUAUAUAUUUUUUUUUGCUUAGUUUGCUAAAUAAAUAAAUAAAUAAAGUUUGCUAUGAACCCUCAUGAUAAACUCUCACAUGGAAAUGAUGAAUAGUUGCUCUGCCAUGACUAGUUCUUAAAAUUGAAAUCUCUCUCAAGUUUAGGCAUAACUGUUAUAAUUUAAAACUGCUCUAAACCUGAACUUGUGGGAAGAGUACUUGAUCUAAAGUCUAAGUCGUUAACGGAUAUGAUAUGGGAAGGUUGAGCUGCUGUUUAUCUGUACCUAGAGAUGCUAGAAUUCUAGAGAAUUUUAUCUUUGAAAAAUCUUUAAAAUAUCACAUGAUGAGUUCCUGUAUGAUGAGAGUUUAAAAUCCUACCAUAGCCAUAUAUACAUGCUUGCUAGACUUUGAGCCACAUAUUUACUUUUUACUGCUUAUGAGCAUGGUCAAGCUGUGUAGACCCUUAGGAGCUUGUCAUGUGGUUAAAAUCAAGAUUCACUUGCACGUUCACUCAUACAUGCUACUUCUACUCCGGAAGUACCAUCCACAUAUAUCCACUCAUUUCCAUCUCCACAUUCACCCGAAAUUAUUCUACUCCUAAUCCGGGAGAGAAUAGCCAAAAACAUUUUCCAAUCCCUGUUAUUCCCUGUGAAAUAAAUGCUCCAGUUAUUUUGGUUACUACCACUUGCUACAUUAUUUGAGGAGAUGAGUGCUCUAAAAAAAGAAGAAAGAAAAAAAAGAGAGAAGAGAAAAAAAUACGAGGAAAUAAAAAGGGGCAAGUGCCCGGAACCUCGAAGAAAAAGAAAAAAGUGAGACGAGAGGUAAAAAUGGACAAGUGUCCGACAAUAGAAUUAGAGGUACAAGAUACCCACCUGAGAGGAAAAUAAAAGAAAGUAUAGAGCAUCUCAUUCUCCCCAAAAAGCUUCAAAAUGCAAGAAAGGUAUGUAUCCCCUCAAAAGAGCAAAAGUAGAAUUAGACUUUCACCAUUAUUAUCACCAUCAUCACCAUACACCAUUCAUUCGCCACACAUGCACAUCUUGAUUUGACUUAUUGACUUGUUUCUCUGGAUCCAUGGUUUGACUAUGCAAUAAAUGUCUUGUAAGUAUGUAUUAGCUGUCUCCCACCUAUGAGCUCCAGAUAUCAAACCUUAUUAGAGUAGGGUGAGAGAGAAGGUAAUAUCACUAUGCAUUAUACCAAAAAUACCACAUACUUUGAGAGAAGGCAUAUACCAUUACUGCCUUGGUAAGGAUCCAGAAAUACCACCAAAGAGAGAUUUGAGAGAGUCAUAUAAGGAAUCUCUGAGUUUUAUUUGAAAAUCUGCAAAAACUCUAGAGCUAUAGCUGAUCAAAGAACAAGAGACAUGGCGCUUGACUUGACCGUUCUAUCUUUUAACUGCUCAAGACACAAGUGACGGUGACAAGCCCCAUGGUGAAAGGUAAAAUGAGUAAGUUUUAAGUCUUAACAGUUUAUUCUAACUCAGAGAUGAGACCUUGCUUGAAUGCGUGUGUACUUUUAAGGCAUGAAACCACUGCAGAAACUCUUGAGUUCAUCCUUGCUCAGGGACGAGCAAGAGGUAAGCUUGGGGGAGUUUGUUGACGGUCCUUAAGUAUCAAAUUUAAUUAUCAAAUAAACAAAGAAAAGGAUCCAAAUGAAAUCAACAUCUAGACUUAGGGUUUUAUCUGACAGAAUUCCACGAGUUUUGGUGUUUGUCUAUUUCUACAGGGGGUUAUCAGGAAAUAAGGAAGAAAGGCCCACAUGUCAGGAUUACAUCGAGAUAUCAAUGCACCGCGCAAUUUUCUACCAUCUAGAAGACUCCAGAAGCCACGAGACCGAAGCGGAGGCGAAACGGGGCCAGGACCUGGGCGCCCGCCCAGUUUCCUUGGGUGCCCGCCCACCUGCCGAGCCCAAUCAGGACUCUUUCUCUCGGGAGAUCUCCAUCGACCUAUUAGAUCCAGAAUAACAUAGUACCACAUCGCCUACCGACCCAAAAACGCAUAGAAGGGGAGGACUAUAUAAGGAGACCCCCCUGGUCCCUGGAGAAGAGAAGAAAUUAUCAUAGAGAUUGAGGGGUGCCCUCGAAGGAAAACCUCUUCUCUAAAUAAUAUUUCUUUUUAGGCUUAGCAACCAAUGUAAAGUAGAAAUAGAUCUUCUAGUUUCUACUAGAUUGAGAGAGAUAGAAUGGAGGUGUGGAUCGGAGGAAGGCUGGCCUGUCGGUGUCUACUCCGAGUUGUACCUACGGGAUCAAGUCUCCUAACCCGAGGCUUGCUUCUAAGAUUCUUCAGUAAUUCGACUUCUAAUUCUAGUAAGUUCUUGUUUUAUUGUUCUUUGGUUUAUGAGUUUACUUUAAUCCUCUUCCAGUUGAGUAUUAGAGUAAUCACUUGCUAGUGUAAACGUGGUGUUUAGGCUAGGGUACUCAUAGAUAUCCCCUGACUAGCUGGACCGUGGUAGUAGCGAGGAACGUGACAUUUCCGAGUUACCUUUGUAUCCCAUAUCUUGUUAGCAGGACGGGUAGGGUUAUAGGUGCGGGUCGAACAUCCUUUGUGUUGUCUAGAUUCCGUGAGCCUCCCCAAUAGAACAGUAGAUCAUCCUUACCAAGGUUAGAACGAGACUACGGUUGCAGUCUUCUCUAUACAUCGCUCACAUCGAGAAACAUUCUUUGUAGCCUAAAGGGGUAGUAGCAAUAGAUUUGGUUAGUCAGAUGCACCCUUUCUCCCAGUGGUAAAAAUAUAAAUACGAUAACUCUGGAUAACCUCCCGGGUGAAAUGCUCACCGAUAUCCGUGCGCUUGCGGAUCAUUUCCUGAUUGCGUUACCAAAUAUCAACAAGGUUCUAAUUGGCUCGCUUUGCGCGGGGGUUUCAACGUACUCUCGAUAGAGCGAGCGUCAUCCACCCCAAAUUGAGCGAUAGAACGAGCAGUCCAAGUGAGAAACUGUGCCCCUUUCGAGGGGGUCAGCUGCAGCCCGGAUGCGUUCUCAUAAAGCGGUUUCGACGUGGUCGGGGAUACUGGUCUCGUUCGACAGAGUCCAGUGGAUCGAUGCCUCCUGUCGGGGGGAUUCCUCUCGACUGUCUCGACCCUACCUUGGACAUCUCCAGCGAGUCUUCGAGGCAGGCCUCGAUUUUCGACCACUCGCUGGGGAUCCCUGACUCUGGUGCUCGAGAUCGGCUGUCGAACCCUUUCGACGGGUCAGCCUGCGACCUCUCGAGGCUUUCAGGGGCGCGUUCCUUGGCUUACAAGGGAAGGAAGAGGCCGCGGCGGUUCUCCUUUUUGCCUGUUGGGCGCGCCUUUUUAGGCGGGAGCCGCUGCGACGUGGUACUGGCGUAGAAUUCGGAACGCCCCGUCUGUGAGGAGAAAAAGGACCGUUAGUCGGCACAUUUAUGGGGGGAGUUACCUCAUUUAUCGGAUCUAUCCAUUGGUGGGUCGCUGCCUAUAAAUAUCCCGUGGCGUCGGCGCCGCUUUCCCUUCCGCCUCCUGCCUUCAUCCUUGUCUUAGCUAUUUCGCCGUCUUAGGUCUCUUGCCAUCUCACACGCGCGCGCCCCCUCGAGUAGUAGCAAAUCCGCCCUCCUUCCGUCCAAGAUGCCUGUGAGACUUGUUGCCGCCGACGAGUGGCGUCCGUCGUCGAUGACGGAACGCCGAUUGCUGGAGCUUGAGAAGGAAGGGCUCCUGCGCCACCGCUCAUCGCUUUCAUCGCCGGAGUGGAUUGCGCCGCCAGCGGACCACAGGGAGCCCAAGCAGCCCAAGGGCUAUGUGGUUUCGUUUGCCAAGUUCCACCGCCACGGCCUGGGCGCUCCCUCGAGCCGCUUCAUGCGGGCGCUCUGCCACCAUUACGGGGUGGAGCUCCAGCACUUCUCCCCAAACGCCAUCACCGUCGCGGCGGUCUUCGCCGCGGUGUGUGAGGGCUAUUUGGGGAUGAUGCCCCACUGGGAGCUGUUGCUCCACCUCUACAGGGGCGAGCUCUUCAACGCCCCCACUGGGACCACUGGCGUGCGGAAGCCCGUGCGAGCGGGGUGCCUCAACCUCGUGCUGAAGACGGGGAAGACGGCGAGGCCACGCGAGUACAUCCCGGUGGGAUUGUCGACGAACCACGCCGGAUGGGACUCCCAGUGGUUCUACCUGAGGAACGACGACGAUCUCCUUCCCGCCUACACCGGUUGCCUGAUCACGGAGCGCCCGGAGAACUGGACGUACGGCGUUGUCCAAGUUCACCAGUCGCGGCUCGACCCCCUCCUCGACGCCUUGAAGAAGCUUCCUAUGGAAGGCCUGACCGCCGCUCUCGUCCUCUCGGCCGUUCAUCAUUGGAGAGUUCUCCCAUGGAUGUCUCAGCCACUGAGGAUGGACGAGAUGGGCCCCGGCGUCACGUCCCGAGACCUCGAGGCGUGCCGGAUGUCUAACGAGGCUCCAGUGGACGACGAGGUCGCGGCCCGGGUCAGGGCGGCCAUUGCCGGCGAUUUCAAGCCGGAGCACGUUAACGGCUUCCCCAUGAGGCCCGAUGCGGGCUCGAUCGACCGGCUAUGCUCCUUUCUCGUACAUGGCUUCGAUUCUGGAUUUCCUUCGACCCCUUUUAAAGCUUGCCUUUGUUCUGGCAGGGGCGAAUCGAUGCACGGUCCUCGAGGCCUCCAGUAAAGGAGGACGAGGUCGACCGUGACAAACGGCGCCAGUCCGGCGAGAAACAAAAGUCCGCCAAGGACUCUGUGAAGAAAGGAAAGAAGAAGAUGAACCUCGACCGCCAAGCGCUAGAGGCGCGUCGAGCUAGGUCCAGGCAGAUGGGGGAGCCUGAGGAAGAAUCCCCCAGCGAAGACGAUGGCGGAGACGGCGAUGACGACAGCGACGACUCCGAGGGGAUGGUGUCUCGUCUCGACCGGAUCCUCGAGGGUCCGCCUCGAGGCGAUGUCGACGUCCCACGGACGUGGGCGCCAAAGGAGGGGCCAGGCGGAUCUCACCGCCCCCGCGCUGACACUCCUCAUGCGCCUGCGCCAAGUCAGGCCGCCUCGCAUCCUCAACCUCCCCGUGCAUCAAAGGCAGGUAGCUGGGCUAUGCCCCAGGCAACGGGGUCGUUUACCCGUGGCCGCGCCGUGGCCUCUGACAAGGGGGAGGCCUGCCGCAGGAGCGCCAGUCCCAGCGCUCGCCAGGCGGGAGAUGCUGGGCCAAGACCAGUGCCUGCCCUCGAGGGGUCGGGGGCCUUGACGCAGGGUGGUUCGAGGCCCACGAGUCGAGGCACCGGUAGGCGAGCCGUUCUCCCUGUGGGGUAAGUUCUUCGAUGCUGUUAUUCUUAUUCCCCUGAUUCUUUGAGUUUUCUCGUACAACGUUCUUCUUUACGCCUGUUCCUCUCUCCUCAGGUAGAAGCGGACGCUUGAGUAGGCCCAGUCUUCAAUGGCGAAAUGGCUCAAGGUGGGGGCGGCCUCCUAGGGCUCAGGUUAGCAGCUUAUUCACGGGAUUUGUGUUGUUCUUACGACAGCCUUCAUAGCGACUAUCCUUUGUUCUGCGCUUUAUAGGAUCCUCUGACCCUUAACCACCAACCGGCGCUGAGAGCGCCUCACCCCGUACCCUGGCGGGUGAGCCUGCCCCGUUGUCGCCAAAACGAGCUGAGGCACCUCAGCUCCAAGGUCAGGAGGGAGCCCCCGAGCAUCCCCGAUUGGGGGUCGAGGGGGAUCCCAUUACCAUAAGUGACGGGUCUGGCGGUGAUGGGACCUCGAGGGAUGCCCGUCCUGUGGACGAAGAGGCCCAGACCUCUCUCGUUGCGAGGCGGACGCCCUGGCCUGCCGGGCUUCGCUCCAUCGAGGAGCAGAAGAAGAAAGAAGAGGAGGAGCGGGAGCAAGAGAUGCGUCGGCAGCUGCAGAAGCAGGACCGUCAACAAGAGCCGCAGGAGCUCGAGGAGCAACAACAGCAGAGGGGCCAGCCACCGGGGGAGCCGCUCGAGCCUCCUCCUCGCAGUCCGCCCCAACCGGUACUACCGGCGCCGCAAGAGCCCGGGGACCAGGAAGAGGGUCUGCCGGUUUUUGGCCCUCCGACCCCGGCGUGGCUCCGUCCCGGGGCGCCCGCCGCGAUCCCAGCAGAGUCGGGGCGGGCAGACUGUGUGGUGGCGCUUGCUUGCAUGAUGCGCACCCCCGUCGACCCUGAGUCCGAGAUCAGGAGGACGAUCUAUGGCAUGGACGGAAUCGCUCCAGGGUUCCUCCGGGAACGUCGGUCGUGGGAGGACCGUAUCCCCGCCGAGGAGGACGAGGCUAGGACAAGGGGCGGAGGCGGAGGCAGCGAAACGAGCACCUGGAAGAUGGUGGACGAUGACGGGCGGUUCCCCUCCCUCGUCGACUUGUUCCUGCGUCAUGGGGGUCCCUCGAGACCGUCGAGGAACUCAUUCGCGGCGUCAAGGCGCGGGCCGACCAGGAGAUGGAGAACUGGUGCCCCGAUCGGAUUCGCAUCCGGGCCUCCACCGAUCCGUCUGAGCCCAACAUCUUCUUGGAUGAUCGGAAGGAGGCUAAGAAGUGGGAGCAUGUCGAGGAGCUCCGCCUCUGGAUGAAGCACACGGUGGGGCUCUUGUCGGACGUCGUCAAUAACGGACUCGGGCCAGCCUACUUUGUAAGUGUUUUUCAGUCCUUAAUCCUUAUAGAGCUUUUGGUUUUGUGUUCUAACUGCUCGACCAUCGGCUCGCAGGACCUGAAAGAGACCUCCCGUAUCAAGUCGAGCUUCAUCCACGCCACGAGAGGCGGCUGGGAGCAGAUCCCCCUCCUCAAGGACCAACUCCUGGAGUCGCAGGAGAAACUCCUCAAGGCAUAUAAAGAGCUCUUGGCGCUCGAGGAGGAGAAGAAGGUGAGGGAGGCUGCCCUGGUCAAGGCUCGAGAGGCCUCGAGGAAGGCUGUGGAGGAGGCCGUGCUGCUGAGGGAGCGGACUCUGGCGGUCGAGGAGGCUGCGUCCAAAGCCCGGGAGGAGGCCCUGUCUUACAAGAACGUCGUUGCUGACCUGGACAAGGAGAAGGGCCUCCUCAAGACAGACCUGGACUCCCUCCGAGACUCCUUCUAGAGGAUGAAGGUGGAGUAUGUGAACAGCGAGGUUGCCUAGAGCACCACGGAGGAGGCAAAGAAAAAGGCCCUUGAAGACCUCGAGGCGGAGCGGGCUCGAUCCCGCAGCCUCUCUGACGACGUCAAUCGUCUGAAGGGAGAGCUGUUGGAGAAGAAUGGAGCUAUUGCUUAGGCUGGCAAGGCGAUCGAGGAUCUUCGUGUUGCCAACACUGAGCUGGCUCGCUCCAACAAAGAGAUCGAGAGGGCCAACACCAAAUUAGUUGGCGAGAACACAGCUCUGGAGGAGAGUGUCCGCGGUACGUUUCUUUUGUCAAAUUUUCUUUUUGAGGUGUGCUUGGUUUUAUCUAAAGUUUUUUUGCGUUGGCAUUCACAGGGCUUAAAGACGAGCUCUUGGCCGCCCAAGUCGAGGCUCGCAACGCCAAGGCCCAGCUCGAGGGGGAGGUUGCUUUGAACCGUCGACUGUGGACGGCGAUAAGCGAUCUCUCAACCUCUUGGGAGGUUGAGCCCAUGGACGAGUCGAAGGAGGAAGCUCGAGGCGACGCGCUGGUCGAUCAGCUGUGCUACUUAGGCGCAACGCUGAGGGAUCGGGUGCGUGACGCUCUCCAUAUCGGGGUAAAGCGGGCAAUGGCAGUUGUCUGCUUGGGCUUUUCCUAUGAAAUGGAGGUGGUGUCUCAUGGCUUUGUUAUCGACAUCUCCAAGACUGACGCGGAGAACGAAGAGAGGCUCCACGCCUUGUUCGACGAUGCAGAGGUCCCUGGGGAGAGGCUGGCCAAGCUAUUUGAGCCCGAGGUACUUCCCCCUGAGACUAGCUUAGGCGUAGGCGAGGGUGGUGAGGACCGCGAUGCGGACUGAGGCCUGCGAGCUUGCUCUGGGUGCCUGGGGCCCCUUGUAUAGCACUCUGUUAACCUUGUCCUUAUGUAAUACAAUGUCUUUAAGUGGUUUGUCAAAUGUUUAUCUGUCUUUCCGCUCGAAGCUCUUUUGUUUCUUUUUGCGCCUACGUUCGUAUUCCUUGUUUAGUCUUUUGUUUAAAACAGCCUCGAUCGCCUCAAGGGUGAGGAAGCGAGUAGAGUUUCCAUAGCCCGGGGGCGUAGGAGUUCUCAGGCUCGUUGUCUCUCGGCCCUUAAGGGGCUCGAGGUGCCUCAACUAUUCGACCGUGCAAGAUUUACUAAGUAGGGACGAAAAAAUUGCUAAGUUUUGCUUGGGGGGAUCCCCCUGCUAGGCCCCGACGGAGUGCCGACUAUGAUGGGUCAUGGUUGGUAUUCCCUUGUAACGUCGAGGUUUUGACUCAUAAAAAGGUAAAUUACUCGAGGGAAAGACUUUGUUUGUUCAUGCAUUCAUUUACAAAGCCUCGGUAUAGAAAGUACAUGGGAACAUAAAGCUUUGACAUUCUAGGGGUAGAAUCGACGUAGCUGUUCAAUGUUCCAUGCGUUGGUGAAGAUUGCCCCCUUUUCGUCCGUGAGUUUGUAUGUUCCCGGCUUCAGGACCUCGGCCACCAUAUAUGGCCCUCCCAAGGUGGAGUCAGCUUGUGGCAUCCUUGAUUGCUUUGCCGCCGUCGUAGGAUGUGGUCGCCCACGUUCAGGUCCCUCUUGCGCAUGUGCUUGUCAUGGUAGCAUCGAAGUUUCUGCUGGUAUCUGGCCGAGUUGAAGAGGGCCAUGUCUCGAGCUUCCUCGAGUUGGUCGACCGCGUUCUCUUGAGUCUCUUUAUUUGUUUGCUCGUUGUAUGCCUUGAGUCGAGGGCAUCCAUACUCAAGAUCUGUUGGAAGCACCACCUCGGAGCCAUAGACCAUGAAGAAUGGGGUGUAUUUUGUGGCCCUGCUCGGCGUCGUUCUUAGGCUCCAUAAGACCGAGGAAAGCUCCUCGACCCAUUUCUUGCCGAAUUUCUUCAAGCGAUUGUAGAUCCUUGGUUUGAGUCUCUGCAAAAUCAUGCCGUUGGCACGCUCGACCUGGCCGCUAGUUCGAGGGUGGGCUACCGCCGACCAGUUCACACGGAUGUUAUGCUGAUCACAGAAGUCCAAGAACUUCCUGCCGGUGAAUUGAGUGCCGUUGUCAGUGAUGAUGACAUUGGGGAUCCCAAAUCGAUGGAUGAUGUUGGUGAAGAAGAGGACGACCUGCUCGGAGCGGAUGUUGGUGAUGGGUCGAGCCUCGAUCCAUUUGGAGAACUUGUCGAUGGCCACCAGCAAGUGGGUGUACCCCCUUUUCGCUUUUUGUAGAGGCCCUACUAAGUCGAGCCCCCAUACCGCGAAUGACCACGUGAUCGGGAUCAUCUAGAGGGCGUGGGCAGGCAGGUGCGUCUGCUUGGCAUAGAAUUGGCACCCGUGGCAUGAGCGAACGAGCUCGAUGGCAUCUGCUACGGCUGUUGGCUAGUAGAAACCUUGUCAGAAAGCGUUCCCUACGAGGGUCCAUGGAGCAGCAUGGUGGCCGCAAGCCCCCGAGUGUAGAUCCUCGAGGAGUUUUCGGCCUUCUUCUACGGUGAUGCAACACUGCAAGAUCCCCGUCGGGCUUCGUCGAUAUAGCUCAUUGUCCUCGCCGUAGAUUACGUAUGAUUUGGCCCGUCGAGCGAUAUGGCGGGCCUCGGAUCGAUCUUCUGGAAGCUCGCGGUGGAUUAGGCAGUCGAGGAAUGGCGUGCGCCAGUCGAACGGUCGACCGGGACGCUGUUCCGCCUCCAUUACCUCAGCUGCCAUUAGUGGCGUGUCGUCGGUGUCGGGUCACUGGGCGGGAGCGGCUUCGACGCCAGCCCCCGAGCCUAGGUCGACGGAUGGCUCGUGAAGAUCUCUCGAGAACGCGUCAGGUGGCACCAUGCUUCGAGUCGACGCGAUCUUGGCGAGUUCGUCAGCCGCCUCGUUGUAGCGUCGGGCAACGUGAACAAGCUCGAGGCCGUGGAACUUGUCCUCGAUUCGAUGGACUUCCUUGCAGUACGCCUCUAUUUUCGGGUCGUGGCAGCUCGAGGCCUUCAUCACUUGAUCGAUGACGAGCUGGGAAUCGCCCCGAACGUCGAGACGUCGGACUCCUAGCUCGACGGCAAUCUUCAGACCGUUGACAAGGGCCUCAUAUUCCGCGACGUUGUUGGACGCUACAAAGUGAAUCCUGAUGACAUACCUCAUAUGAACACCCAGGGGCGAGAUGAACAGCAGGCCGGCCCCAUCUCCCGUCUUCAUGAGUGACCCGUCGAAAUACAUCGUCCACAGCUCCGACUGAACUUGAGCCGAGGGGAGCUGGGAGUCAGUCCAUUCUGCGACGAAAUCCACCAGGGCUUGCGAUUUGAUAGCUUUUCGGGGCGCAUAAGUGAGAGUCUCACUCAUGAGCUCGACCGACCACUUGGCGAUCCUUCCCGUGGCUUCUCGACUUUGGAUGAUCUCUCCCAAAGGGAAGGAUGAGACCACUGUGAUAGGAUGGCCGAGGAAGUAGUGCUGCAGCUUGCGUCGGGCGAGGAUUACGGCGUAGAUUAGCUUCUAGAUUUGCGGAUAGCGCGGCUCUGUCUUCUUGCGGAGAGGGGUCGAUCUGACCAUCAUUCCUAGGCGUCCUGGGGUCUUCCCUUGCUGCAGGGGCUCGCCCGUCCACAACGGCGUCUUGUAACUCAUCGGUGGUUUCCACCGCUCCGUCGAUAUGGAAGCACUCCCUAGUAGGGUCGUGGCUGUCGGAUUCCGAGCCGGAGUCCGGCUCGGCGGCAUAAAAGCAUCCGCGUCCUUCCUCCAGCAGCCGCUAUCUAAGAGAGGUAAUCGUGUAGUGCCUAGGGCCUAGGCGGCGGAGGCCUCGUACCUGGGUGAAAUCUGGUAGCUCGGACGUCGGUUGCUGUGCUCCGGGGUCGCGUGGGAGGACCAUUGGUCUCUCCACGUACGUCUGGGCGUUUGGGCAUAUCGCCCUGGCGAGCGACGCUGCGGCAUUGUCCAGGCCGAACGGCAAGGCUCCUCUUGAGGCGAACAACCCGUGUGGAAGUAGCCUGGCGGUGGGGGAGAGUGUGCAGGGCGCGUCACCUCCUGUCGUCAUGUGAUCCUCGCGGCACUGAGCUGUCGUGCCCGUGGUGCACGGAGCUAUCGGCCCUCGUGCCGUCUCCUACCUGGCACGGACUACUGGUCGUGGUGAGGUAGAAGGGCGAUGGUGGUGCUGUCCACGCCUCUUCUUAGGCGGGGAGGCGUGGUGGUGAGGACGUCUCGGGGCCCUCAUCCAGGUUGGCGCAACGCGGGCUCCUCCCGGCCCUUUGAUCGAGAGCAAGAUCAUGUCAUAGCUGAAGCCAGUGGACAUGAACUCGAGACUCCCAAACCAAAUCACCGUGGAGCACGGAAUCGGUGAAGAAAUAGUGGCCAUCUAGGAAAGAAUGUGAAAUUGAUGAAAAACACGCAGGACCCCUACCUGGCGUGCCAACUGUCGGUGUUUUCCCCACGGGGUGUCACACCAACGAGUGAAUUUGUAUGCGUGCUCCCUUUCCCAGAUGGUGAUGCAAAAAGACACACAAAGAUUUAUACUGGUUUGGGCAAGAGAAGGCCCUACGUCCAGCGGGGGGAGCGAGUUUGUAUUAUUCUGCACCUAAGUGCUUGUACAGGGGUGAAUACAAGCGUGGUAUGAAAUGAGGGGGAGUGUAGAAGCUCUACUGCGUAUGGGUGUCGUGCCCCGUCCCCCUGUGUUCGCUCCUGGGCUUCCCCUUUUAUAGUUCCAAGGAGAGGCCCAGGGUACAAGUGUAGGUGUCAGAGUAGGGGUCGAUAGAGGCAUGGCGCGCGGACCUACUCGAGGCCUCCGUACCGGCGUGGUCUCGAGCCAUCCCAUCCUAGUAGCUUGAUGAUGAUUACGCGUGCCCUGGAAUCCUGCUGUGCGCGCCGUCUUGGACUGGUUCAUUGGUGGCACGCCUGUACGAUAUAGCGGCGGAUCCGUCAGAGUGGUUGCUUUGUUGCCAUUCGACGUCCAACCCUUCUCCUGGAGGAAAACGGGCCUGGUCGAGGGUCGGCCGCCAUGUAGCGUUUCGCUGUCCAGAGCGUUGACCCUGGAUGUCUCGAGGAGGUCCUGAUUAGACGUUCCAUCCCUGCUUCCCGCGUCGUGACACGCUCUGGGUCGUUUGGUGGCGAAGGCUGCAAAAAGAAUGACAGGACGGGUGCCUGUUCCCUAUCACGCUUCCCGUGACUGGCGUGUUAGGUGAGAACGCGACAGGCGCAUUAAAUGUCCUGGUUCCCAUGCGCGCGUCAGGCGGCGGGCGGCGUCCUUGCGCAUGACGCCUCCUGGUUGGCUCGAGCCUAUUUCCGUAUUCGACGGUAGCGGCGCUCGAGCCCUGAUCGGUUCGCUCGACGCCUUUUCCGUCUUCGAGGCUGCGGUUUUCGAUGACUAUACGUACGACUGACUAGAGCGUCGAGUUGAGGGCCUCGACCUGCGUACGGAUAAUCUCAUUAUGUGCAUCAGUUAGGAUACCCCUUACUGAUAUCCUCGACACUCACUUAUUUAUUCCUAGUGCGUUAUGACAAUAAAAAAGAUGAAUAAUCUUAUAAAUCCAAUGAAUGUUUUAUCUUUCAUAAUUAAUCAUGCUAGGAGAGCUCUUGAUGAAUCUAUUAAAAUGAACCUCUAGAAUAAACUCUUACAUGGAGAUGAUGAAUAGUUGCUCUACCGUAAUUCCUUGCAAGUAUGUAGUUUUCAAUCGUGUAAUCUCCUGAAUUUUAGACACAACAGUUUAGACUUAAGAUUUUGCUCUGAACCUGAAACCUAUGGGUAGAAAAUGCUUGAUCUAAGUCUAGGUAGUUAACGGAUAUGAUGUAGGAAGGUUUUGAGCUGCUAUCAAUCUUGCUCCUAGAGAUGCUAGAGUUCUAGAGAAUUUUACUUUGAAAAACUUAAAUUGCUACAUGAUGAGUUCCUUCAUUGCAAGAGUUUAAAAUUCCUAGCACAGCCAAAUACUCAUGCUUGCUAGAUUAGGAAAACUCUUCCACUUAUAUUUCAACCUAUAAGCAUUGAGGGUAGUUAAGUUGUGUAGACCCUAAGGAACUAGUCAUGUAGUUAAAGUUAAAUUAUAUGCUCUCCAUCCAUUGAUCUUAGCUACUUCUAUCCUUAGAAGUACGCAACCACUUACAUCCACCACAUUCACCAUGUGCUAAUCCAUUCCUGGAAGUACCACCCACAUACACGCAUUACACUCUGGGCUGUUUCUAUCCUAGAAACACACAUUUAUGCUACUCCUACCCUUUGAGUACGCAUUCCUUCAUCCAACCAUAUAUAUUCCACAUCCACUUAGAAAUUGUUCUACUCCUACACUAGGAGGGAAUACCCAAAAAAGCUCCAUUUAUUUCAGUUGAUACUCAUUAUCAGUGCAUUAAAAGGGUUGGUGAUCUUUAAAAAAAUAUGUUAAAAGAAAGAAAGUGGACAAAAGCCCCAAUGCAAAAGAAAAAGAAAAACAACCAAGUCGUUGUUCUCAAAUUAGGGAGGUAUGUUAUCCCCAAAGAGCAAAUUUAGAAUUAGAUAUUCGCAAUCAGUUAUCACCGCUCAUAACCCCUUUCAUUUCUAUCACUUCACUUCACUUCACUCACAUGCACAUAUGACUUGAUUGUAUAAUUUGUUUCUAUGGAUCCAUGGUUUAACUAUGCAAUACAUGCAAUUAGGUUUGAAUUGUCUUUCCCACCUAUGAGCUCCGCAUAAGCCAAACAGAAGUAGGGUGAGAGAGAAGGCAACUAUGUCUUAGUGAAAUACCACAUAUUCUGAGAGCAGAGAGAAGGAAUACUCACUUGUCUUGGAGAGGAUCCAAAAAUACCACAUAUGAAAGAAUGGAAAGUGUCAUACAAGGAAACUCAAAGUUCUAUUUGAAAAUUUUGCAAAACUCCAGAAUAAUAGUUGAUCAAAGAGUGGGUAGCAUAGUGCUCCACUUAACUGUUCUGUAUUUCAACUGCCCAAGACCUAAGUGAUAGCUAUAAGCCCUAUGGUGAAAGGUAAAAUGGGUGAGUCUUGAGUCAAAAUAGUGCACUCUAGUCCGGAGGGGAGUCCUUGUUUGAAUACUUGUGUACUUGUGAGGCGUGACAGCAUUGUUGCAAGUCCUGAUCCAUCACUGAGCCUAUCUUUGCUUGGGGACGAGCAAAAGGUAAGCUUGGGGGAUUUUGUUGAUGGUAGCUAACUCCUAUUUUUAACUUUAAACAUAACUUUUAUAACUACAAAGAGAUGCUCACCAACAUACGUUUAGAGGUUUUAACUAAAAAUUUCACGAGUUUUAGUGCAUCUAUGUUUUGUAGGGGCUACAUAGGAAAAGAGCUAAAGGCAAACUAAUCAUUUAAUAAAGUAUCUCAAAUGAUGAAGUGGACUGCACCAUUGGGAUGGGCUCGUCGAGACGAUCGAAAUCCAUAUAUCAUUUGCCCUAUAUGGAGUAUCGGAUGAACGAAUAUGAAUUUCACAAGAAAAUACACAUUUCUAGAGUCUAGAAGGUUCGAAAAGACACCAGAACGAACGGGAAGGCAAAUGGCCACUCGGGCUAGGCACCCGCCCGACCCCCUUGGACGGUCGCCCGGCUGCUGCAGCUAAUCACUCUCUAGCUCGCGGAUUCCCGAUCCACCACCUUUGAGGAUUAACCUUAAGCACACGUUUAAGUCGGUUUGAUCCAAAGGCUAUGGUUCUUCCUGGAGGUGGAAAGAUUAGUGCCACAUCACUAGUUCAAGGUAGAGGAGGGGUCAGAUGCCCCCUAUAAAUCCAAACCUGACCCCCCUGGAGAAGGAUCAUAUGAGUUGUAGAGGUGUCCCUUAAAUGGAUGACCUCACUUCUCUAGAGAAUUAGGGCUAGACAUUCCAAUGUAGUAGACUAGUUCUAGUCGAGAGUUAGGGAGAGUGGAGUUACGCUCUUGUUCUAGAGGAGUUUCCCUUAGAGUUUUGGUAUGUCUUCAUAUCUCUUCUUUAUAAGACUUAUGCUUUAAUAUAUUAUCUUCUAUAUUGACUUUAUGCUUAUUUAUGAUUAGUGUAGUUGUUAUAUCUUGGCAUGGGAUCUUUGCUCAUAUUGAGUGUUGUAGUUAUUCAUGGUAAUUAGAGUAUUAAAUGCUAGUGUAGACUUGGUGUCUAUGCUAUAGUUAACCUGAGGUUGCUCUAGUUAUUCAUGCAAUAGUUUACCUAAGGUUGCACUGAAUCGCAUGGAUAGUGGUGGUAGCCCCAGUGGUGAUAGCCCUAUCAAGCCUUUGUAUUCCACCAUGUUCGGAUUGAUGUUUUGUAGAGCUUUUGGUAGCCUUCCCCCGACUAUUUCUUCCCAGUCUCUUUCGAGAGUUAGAAAGGUACUAUUGCUCCAAAGUGCCAUUGUAUGAUUGCUAUAUCAUUUUAUAUAUUGUUACCUUAGAACCUAAGUAAUAGAGAAGUACAAAGGAACCUUGAUCUUUCCCAUUGUCCUCCUGCUUUGACUAUCUAUACAUAUCACUGAAUUCUCUUAUAUGCACUUAAUUGAAUUAUCUUAUAGUAUAUCAUUUACCCCUGCUUUAGUUUAGUUGAUACUUUAAGUUAGUAGAUGUAGGAUAUUGAAUUAUCCGAUUCUUAACCCUAGCUUCCCUGGGGUAAAAUAUAAAUAACGAUACCUAGAAUACUCCCAGUAAAAUGCUACGAUGAUAUUUUGUGCGCUUGCAGAAUCUUUUAUAUUCUUUUUGCACUAACAAAUGUCGUCAAGCAUUUCUAGCGCUGUUGCCGGCGAUAGAUUUAAAAUUUUAUUCUUAGUAAUGACAUUAAGAAAUGUCAACAACAGUUGUGGAUGAUUCACCGUGACGGAGUGUCAAAGAAUCAGCGCAUAGACAACACUUGGUCCGUGCGGGGACCAAGGAGGACCAAGGCCCUUGUGCGGGUGCUCCAACAAGGACUAGUGGAGAGUGGUGACUCUCUGAUACCUCGGCAAGACAUCACCGCAUUCCUCUUUCUCUCAUCGUUUACAUUCUAGCAUUUACUUUGAGCGUUUUACAUUCUUAAAAUUGCCAUGCUAAAGUAGGAUUGGAACUAAGUUGCAAAAUAUUUAUCUGGUAGCUCUCUAGAACACACUUAGGCACAAGGGUUGAAUUGAGGCUUAUAGGUUGCUUAAUUUUUUAGAGAAGCCCAAUUCACUCUCUCUUGAGCAUCUUGAUUCUUUUAGUCUAGACAGGUGAAUGUCAAGUACUGAAGAGCUCUAGCAAGUCUACAAAAGUCUAUAGCAUCAGACACACAGGCCCCCUUAGCUGCAGCAACCUUAGAGUUGGUGUCAACUGGUAUAAAGCAUGGCUUGCACUUAGCCAUCCCAGCACGAUCUAAGAUGUCCAGCAUGUACUGUUGUUGUGAGAGCAUUAGUCCAUCACCAUGCCGCUAAACAUGCAUACCGAGAAAGUGAUGUAGUUCGCCAAGAUCUUUCAUGGCGAACUCCCGAUGAAGGGCUGAGAUGAUCCGCCGAAGAAAGGCUGACAACGAGGCUGUGAGGACAAUAUCUUCAACAUAGAGAAAUAGGUAUGCUAUGUCUAAUCCAUGCUGAUAGAUUAAGAGUGAGGUGUUUAACUUGGCUUCGACAAACCCAAUGGACUACAAGUAAUAGACCAUCUAACUGUACCAAGUAUGAGGAGCAUGUUUUAGGCCAUAGAGCGACUUCUUCAAGAGACAGACAAAAUCCAGAUGAGCUGGAUCUUCGAACCCAGAUGGCUGCUGAGAUUACACUGUCUGAGUCAAAGCCCCAUGAAGAAAGGCAUUCUUCACAUCCAGCUGGUGAAUGGGCCAGUGGAGAGUGAGCACUAAGGAGACAACAUGCAGACAGUACUAGGUUUCACCAUAGGAUUGAAGGUCUCAUCAAAAUCCACACUAGGUCGCUGGGUAAGGCCACGAAGAACCCAACGUGCUUUGUACUACUCGAGGGAGCCAUCAGACUAAAGUUUGUGCUUGAAGAUCCACUUCCUAGGGACAACAUUGGCCCGAGGAGGACGAGGCAGGAGAUCCUAGGUGUGGUUCUGCAGGAGAGCACUGUGUUCUUCCUCCAUAGCGGCUCACCAAUUGGGGUCAGCAAGAGCGCUAUGGAUGGUCUUUGGCACUGGAGAGAGAGGCACGGCGUGGUAGAUGGCGGGCAUCUUGUAGCCGCUCUGGGAACGGGUGCCCAUAGGGUGCUAGUGUGCCACUGGAGGAACAACAACUGCACCCUUGGGCAGCGGUACUGCUGGUGCAGCAGGGGUGGCUGAUAUAACAGGGGUGGCUGGUGACUCACGCAGGCUAUGCAUGUAGACGUGUGUGAAAUCGUGAGCCUAUCGAAGAGGAGGGAACCCUGGUGGUGGCCCACGGGGCACAUGCACAAGUGUCGGGGAGCCGAUAGGCUGUGUAGAGGGUGAUGGUGCGUCAAGCAACUUUAGGGCCGCGUAUGGCAUGGAAGGGGGACUCCUGGGGGCCACGCGUGGUGUAGUGGGUUUCCCUGACACCCAUAGCACAGGGGGACGUAGAGCGCGUGUGUGGGAUGAUCCUUAGUAUCCUCAGAAGACUCUAGGGGCACCCCAGGCACAACCUCACAAGGACCGGCAGGGGCACAGGUGGUGCCAAGGGUACUGGGAGGUGUUCGUGCAGGCAAACACUUGUGCGACGGUCCAAUAGGAAUGGGCACAACAUCAGUAGUGUCAUUGGCAAGAAACUCUAGUUCUGCUAGAGUCCUAGGACCAUGACACUGAGCGAAAGGGAAGGUCAUUUCAUCGAAGAUGACCUGCCAGGAAAUGAUGACUCUAUUAGAUGAUAAGUCAAGAUAGUGGUACCCUUUAUGAUGAGCUGAAUAGCAUAGGAAGACACACAGGACAGACCUAGGUGCAAGCUUAUGAGGGGCAGUGGUUGACAUGUUGGGAUAAAAUUUGUAACCGAAAACUCAUAGAUGAUUAUAUGUGAGUGAUUUUCCAAAUAAGGUAGUAUGAGGAGUGGAGAAAUCUAGAGUCUUGGUGGGCAAUAUAUUGAGGAGGACAGUCGCCAUGGAGAGAGCCUCCACCCAACAGGAGGGAGACAUGGAUGCUUGAAAGAGCUGGGAGCGAACGACAUUAUUGAUAGAGCGAAUAACACGUUCAACUUUACCUUUUUGAGGCAUGGUGUAAGGGCAGGACAUGUGAAGGUGGAUGCCCUGGGUGACGAAGAAGUGGCGAGUGCUACAGUUGUCAAACUCUCUCCCGUUGUCGCAUUGUACUACUUUGAUGCAGGUGCCAAACUGAGUGGAGGUGUGGGUGAUGAAUUGAGCGAGCGUGCUGAAAAUGUCAGAUCUAAGGUGUAAUGAAAUGUCCACAAGUAAUGAGUGCAAUCAUCAAGAAUGACCAAAUAAUAUUUAUAACUAGAAAUGCUAAUAACUGAAGAGGUAUAUAAAUCACAAUGAAUAAGAUCAACCUUCCUAGACGCAUGAGAGGUGGACGCAUGAAAGGGCAAACGAACAUGUCACCUGAGUUGACACGCAUGACAUAAAUCUAAAAAAUCUUGAAUAUGGAGUGAAACACUAGACGCUAGCUUUAACAUGGCCUCAUGGCUAGGACACCCAAGAUGUCGAUGCCACAGUGGAGAGGAUCCCUAAGCGGCAAAGAAGAGUGCUGGUGAAAGGCGAAGUGGGUACAAUGGCCUAGAGCUAUUGCACCAGACGAUCUCUUUCCGAGAUGGAAGAACCUUCACAGAACAACUAGUGAGGUCAAACUCAAUAGAUCAAUUAUUGUCAAGAGUAAACUAGAGAACAGAGAUAAGAUUCUUAAUAAUUUGUGGCGAUACAAAGACAUUAUUAAGACACAAUUUGAAUGAUAACUCUGUGGAGCUAGUGUGGCAGAACCUCUUAAGUGUUUGGGCCCACCGACACCUGUCAUUGUCCAAAGGACCUCUGACGGUGAUGCCGGGGAUCCUCCCACUCUAGAAGUCCGAUGAGCAUCUCAUGACGCUCAUUCCACCGCUACGUGUGGAGUAUCAAGCGAACUCGUCCUGACCACUAGCGAUGGUCAAUUAACGAGAACUUCUUCUUCUCUCCCUUACAGGAUAGCAAGUGGCCACCUUAACACCAGGAUCACUCGUUGCGAAGACAUUGCAGUAUCACAAACAACACAAGACCAAAAUAAUAUUUCAGAGUAAAACAGCGGAAGUAUUACAUAACUUAAUUUACAAAAGUAUUUCUUCUAAAUAGUAGAGUGUUAUUACAAGCCAGGUCCAGCGGAGCAACUUAAACUUUAGUACACAAAUUACAAACUUACAGACCCUGCCCAGGGGUCACGCUCACUCUUCUUCGUCGUCAACCUCGACGACGGACACACAACAGGGUCCGAAACAUGUCUGCUCCUGAACUUCACCUGCAACAGGUGUUAUAAAACCCUGAGUACGGGAGUACUCAACAAGACUUACCCGGCGGAAAAAAGAGGAGAAAUUAGGAAUGCAGGCUUGGGGUAGAUAAGGAGUGGCUGAGCAAGGAGCCAAAGUGUAUUCCACAACAACCCUUCAAACUUUCUUGUUUGAAAACCUAUCUAGUAGCAGGGCUAAGCAUCACUACGCGGUUUUAAAAUAAAACAGGUGCCAAGGACAAGAUAACAAAUAUCAAGGUAGUAAAUGCAGUAAGUAGGUUAACCCAAUUCUCAACUACCUAAUGCAGCAUUUUCAAUUCAUAAGUGGUAAAAGAUUUAAAAUAUUCAAGGAGGGGUUAAUGCAUCCGGGGCUUGCCUUGGUUGCAGAGCUGAGAGGGUUCCUCGGAGACUUCCCAAGUCUCGGAUCCUACUUCUUCGAAGGGAGCACCGACCUCGGGGUUCGGUUCAACGGUCGCUCCUUCAGUCACAUUCACUAUACGCAAAAUGAUGAAUGCUCAUGAUAUGCAUAUGACAAAUAUUUGAGAAGGACCGAGUUAAGUACAACGGGCCUUCUCGGUGCAACAUAGACUAAUCAAUAAUUAAAGUUGUUUAUCAUCUUAGUGUCUUUACCCAAGAGGUUGCAUCUGUAAACUAAGAUUCCUCUUAAUCCAUAAUUAUUCUUAAUUAACUAAUUAUUAAUUCUUUUUAUCUUAAUUAACUUUCAAUUAAGUAUUAAUGACAGUAAUUAAACAUUAAUGCCAAACAAUAAUUAAAUGCCAAAGGUCAUUAAGGUUAAUGACCUCAGGUCAUCACACAAUCCCAAAAUCACUCAAACCCUAAUUUGAGAAUUUAACUAAUUAUUACCUAAUUAUUCUAGAAUUAUUAUUUAAUUACUAAUUAAGGGUUUAAUAAUAUUUUAUUCAAACAUUAUCCAAAUGCCACCAAAUUUUGUGUGAAGCCAGGGAAUAAUAUUCAGAGGCAUCUCACAAAUUUUAGUGAUUUUUGGGCAUGCAAUUAAAUUAUUAAAAUUCAUAGAAAUUUUAUUUGCUAGUUAAAAGAGGCAAUUUUUAUACACAUGCAAACUACGAGAAAAUAGAAACUAUUAUUUUUCCUGUGUUCUACUUACUCUAUGGAACCUAUACAAAAAUUUUCAUAAUUUUUGGAUCAGCACAUGAUUUAUUAUACAAAAUCAAACAUACAUCACAAUUUUGCAUAAAAGAAAAAGGGAUACGAUCACUGUUCCCACGGCCGGCCCGCUUGGCUUUGGCCCAAGCCGGGCCGAGCGCAUUCCCGCGCCCAGCGCCAUCUCCCUCUCUCUCACGCGGUCGCUGACGGGCGGGUCCCGCCCGUCAGCUCCGUCUUCUUCCUUGCGCCGCGGCUCCGGCGAGCUCAAGCACGCCGUCGGCGACCUCUCGGCCUCCGCGGUAAGACGUGUUAGCUUCCCCAACCUCACGCGCACCCAAAGACACCCUUUGCACCCCCUCUCUCCUUUCCAAGCCCCCAUGGCCACGGGUGCGGCGGACGGCCGCCUCGGCCGAGCAAACGCCGACCGCUACAAGCGAGUAAAACGCGAGAUGAAAGGCGUAAAAGUAUCAGUGGCUCACCGCGACUUCAACGGAGCAAGAAGCGGCAGCGGAGAGGCUCGGAGUGAGGCUGGCCAUGGUGAAGUGUCCACGGCGGCAUUUCGGCCGGGAUUGGAGAAGACUGGCUCGGUUGCGGGCUAGGACAGGUUAGAGCUUGCGCUCGGGGGCGCAAACGGUUGCGGGGUUCUUGGCGGAGCUUCUGGGGGUUCUCUGGUGGCUUGGAAGGGAGCGAGGCGGACGAAUUCGAGAAGUGCAGGGAGCUCGUCGGCGUCGGGGUUCAGAGGGAAAAGAGAUUUUCCACGGCGGCUCGGGGUUUUAUCCUCGCAGCGUCGUGUUUGCUGCGGAUGAGGAUGCCAGGGCGACGCUCCGUAGGCAAGCAGCUGCCUGGCCAGGCGCGUGGCGGCACUGGACGCAGCGGCUCUGCUCCGGCGGCAGAGCAUCCCCCCUGCUCAAGCACUGUAGCGAUCUCUAUCCAACCAGUUUUGUGGUUUUGCAAAAUUCGCCCAAAUUUUGAACUGAAGGCAAAAUUCCACCAAAAUGAAACUUGUGCAGAAUUUUACAACCUACAAAACUCCUUCUGGUGACCAAAGCUAAAUCUGAGUGGAAAUUGGUGAAUUUAACCAAACAGUUUGAAAUUCAAAUCUCAAUUUAGGGAAAUUCAAAUUUUUGAAUUGGGGCAGAUCAGAAUUUCCAAAAAUUACUUUUGAUUUUCCAUAACAACUUGAAAAACUCCCAACAUGAAAGUUGUUCAACGUUUUGAGCUCUACAACUUUCAUGUUGGUCACUUUUCAAAAUUCCAAAUAUAUUUUGAAUUGGAGAUUCAAGUUGGAAAAGGGGACACUUUCUGGAAAUCUGUAUUUUCAAAAUUACUUUGAAUUUUGUAGUGAAACUUCAAAAACUCAAAACACUAAAGUUGUACAUCUUGACAAGAUCUACAACUUUUCUUUUGAACUCAACUUGAAAUUUUGCUUAGUUUUUAAAUUACACAAAAGGGGGCAAAUCUAGGGUUUUAAAAUCAGGGUUUUCCCCCCAUACUCUCUCGGAAAUCUUCCACCCUAGGAAUUAAACAACCAACACAAGCAUCACUUCACAACAUAAGCACACUUUAAUUCCCUAAGCACAUUCAACCAAAUCAAACUUAUUUUAAGUUGAUGCAUAAUAAUGUGCUUAACAUAUAUGCGAUGCAAUGCUCAUGAUGACAUGAUCCAGUUUUAAUAACCGUAACAUCAAGGAUGUUACAGCCCUUCCCCCUUAAAGAAAUCUCGUACCCCAGAUUUAAAGCCUUAGGGUAUGUAAUGGAAAAGGAAAUUUGUCAAACUAUGUCCUCUUCAACCUUUUCAUAAGACAAGAAGCUGGGGAAGACUACUCAAAUAUAAACAUAUAUGUACACUAAGUACAUGGCUUUGGCUACUCUUUUCCUUCACUAGAGUACACUUCCUAUUUAUCAGAUGUUGUCUUGAAGAGAAGCGUGGAACUCAGGAAAAUUCUCCAUUAGAUAAUCUUCAGAUUCCCAUGUGGCUUCCUCUUCAGAGUGCUGGCUCCAUUGCACCUUGUACCACUUGGUAGUUGUUCUUCGAGUAACUCUAUCUCUUUGGUCCAAUACUCGGAUAGGAUAUUCCGCAUAAGUCAGAUCUGGGUCAAGUUCCACAUCUUCAAUAUCUUGAACCUGGUCUGGUACCCGAAGACACUUUUUCAGUUGAGAUACAUGGAAUACAUUGUGUAUCCCGGAUAAUCGUUCGGGCAGUUUAAGGCGGUAAGCUACCUGUCCACAUCGGUCAAGAAUUGGAAAUGGACCAAUGUAACGAGGUGCUAAUUUGCCUUUAACGCCAAAACGAUUUACUCCUUUCAUUGGGGAUACCUUUAAAUACACAUGGUCACCUUUGGCGAAUCUUAAGGGUCGACGUCUUUUAUUGGCAUAGCUUUUCUAUCGGGACUGAGCAACUUUCAAGUUAUUUUGGAUUUGUCUAACUUUGUUCUCAGUCUCUUUUACUAAGUCAACCCCAAAGAACCACCUUUCUCCAGGUUCCGACCAAUGUAGUGGAGUUCGACAUCGUCGGCCAUAUAGUGCCUCAAAGGGAGCCAUCUUAAUACUUUCUUGGUAGCUAUUGUUGUAGGAAAACUCUGCUAGAGGCAAGCAGUCAUCCCACUUAUCUGGAAAAUUCAGGGCACAAGAUCUUAAUAGAUCUUCUAGGGUCUGAUUUACCCUCUCUGUUUGCCCACCUGUUUGAGGGUGGUAGGCUGUACUGUAUAAAAGCUUGGUGCCCAAAGAUUCAUGUAAGCAUUUCCAGAACUGGGAGACAAAUUGUGUGCCUCUAUCUGACACUAUUGUCUUUGGCACCCCAUGCAGACUUAGUAUAUGAUCAAAAUAAAUCUUAGCAUAGGUGGAGGUAUAAUACGAUUUCUUUACAGGUAAGAAGUGUGCUAUUUUGGUGAGACGAUCCAUAAUGACCCAAAUAGAAUCAAAGCCUUUGGCCGUCUUGGGCAAUCCUACUAUGAAAUCCAUACUAAUAUCAUCCAAUUUCCAUGCUGGAGUAGGCAAGGGUUGCAACUCUCCAUCGGAUUUGAGAUGAAUAGCUUUGACUUUUCGGCAGGUAUCGCAUUGGGCCACAUAGCUGGCUAUUUCUAUUUUCAUUUUCGUGCACCAAAACCUUUGGUUCAGGUCCUGAUACAUUUUAUUGGUCCCCGGAUGAAUAGAAUAUUUGGUAGUAUGAGCUUCAUCCAGGAUUUGCUGACGUAGCUCAGGUACCUUUGGAACCACUAACCGGUUUUUGAACCAGAUUACUCCUGCAUUAUCCACCUUAAAGUCUGUGGGUGCUCUAUUAGAAAUUUUCUCUUUAAGGUAUUUCAUACCUUUGUCUUCCUUUUGUGCCUCUAUGAUCUGAGCUUCGAGAUUGAAAUCAAUCUUUAGAUUGGCAAGGCUUCCUUGGGAAAUCAUUUCUAUCUCCAAGUUCUCUAGCUCUUGGCACAAAGUUAUAUCUUUAGGCGUCACUAUUAAACAAUUACAGUGAGCCUUAUGACUGAGGGCAUCAGCUACUACAUUCGCUUUGCCAGGGUGAUAAUGCACAUCAAGGUAGUAAUCUUUGAUCAAUUCUAGCCACCUUCGCUGGCGCAUAUUAAGUUCAGCUUGAGUGAAGAUGUACUUCAAGCUCUUGUGAUCUGUGUAUAAGUGACAAGUAUUCCCCAACAGAUAAUGGCGCCAGAUCUUUAAUGCAUGUACUACGGCGGCUAGUUCAAGAUCAUGGGUCGGGUAAUUCUCUUCAUGUGGUUUAAGCUGCCUGGAAGCAUAUGCAAUUACGUGACCCUCCUGCAUUAGCACACAGCCUAUCCCUAUUCCUGAUGCGUCACAAUACACAUCAAAGGGUUUUUCAAUAUUUGGCUGGGCUAAGACAGGUGCAGUUGUCAAUAACCUUUUCAGAGUCUGAAAGGCUUGCUCACAUUGAGGUGAAUCAAACAAACCAGUUGUGGCAGAACCUCUUAAGUGUUUGGGCCCACCGACACCUGUCAUUGUCCAAAGGACCUCUCAAGGUGAUGCCGGGGAUCCUCCCACUCUAGAAGUCCGAUGAGCAUCUCAGGACGCUCAUUCCACCGCUACCUGUGGAGUAUCAAGCGAACUCGUCCUGACCACUAGCGAUGGUCAAUUAACGAGAACUUCUUCUUCUCUCCCUUACAGGAUAGCAGGUGGCCACCUUAACACCAGGAUCACUCGUUGCGAAGACAUUGCAGUAUCACAAACGACAAAAGACCAAAAUAAUAUUUCAGCGUAAAACAGCGGAAGUAUUACAUAACUUAAUUUACAAAAGUAGUUCUUCCAAAUAGUAGAGUGUUAUUACAAGCCAGGUCCAGCGGAGCAACUUAAACUUUAGUACACACAUUACAAACUUACAGACCCUGCCCAUGGGUCACGCUCACUCUUCUUCGUCAUCAACCUCGACAACGGACACACAACAGGGUCCGAAACAUGUCGGCUCCUGAACUUCACCUACAACAGGGGUUAUAAAACCCUGAGUACAGGAGUACUCAACAAGACUUACCUAGCGGAAAAAAGAGGAGAAAUUAGGAAUGCAGGCUUGGGGUAGACAAGGAGUGGCUGAGCAAGGAGCCAAAGUGUAUUCCACAAUAACCCUUCAAACUUUCUUGUUUGAAAACCUAUCUAGUAGCAGGGCUAAGCAUCACUACGCGAUUUUAAAAUAAAACAGGUGCCAAGGACAAGAUAACAAAUAUCAAGGUAGUAAAUGCAGUAAGUAGGUUAACCCAAUUCUGAACUACCUAAUGCAGCAUUUUCAAUUCAUAAGUGGUAAAAGAUUUAAAAUAUUCAAGGAGGGGUUAAUGCAUCCGGGGCUUGCCUUGGUUGCAGAGCUGAGAGGGUUCCUCGGAGACUUCUCAAGUCUCGGAUCCUACUUCUUCGAACGGAGCACCGACCUCGGGGUUCGGUUCAACGGUCGCUCCUUCGGUCACGUGCACUAUACGCAAAAUGAUGAAUGCUCAUGAUAUACAUAUGACAAAUAUUUGAGAAGGACCGAGUUAAGUACAACGGGCCUUCUCGGUGCAACACAGACUAAUCAAUAAUUAAAGUUGUUUAUCAUCUUAGUGUCUUUACCCAAGAGGUUGCAUCUGUAAACUAAGAUUCCUCUUAAUCCAUAAUUAUUCUUAAUUAACUAAUUAUUAAUUUUUUUAUCUUAAUUAACUUUCAAUUAAGUAUUAAUGACAGUAAUUAAACAUUAAUGCCAAACAAUAAUUAAAUGCCAAAGGUCAUUAAGGUUAAUGACCUUAGGUCAUCACACAAUCCCAAAAUCACUCAAACCCUAAUUUGAGAAUUUAACUAAUUAUUACCUAAUUGUUUUAGAAUUAUUAUUUAAUUACUAAUUAAGGGUUUAAUAAUAUUUUAUUCCAACUUUAUCCAAAUGCCACCAAAUUUUGUGUGAAGCCAGGGAAUUAUAUUCAGAGGCAUCUCACAAAUUUUGGUGAUUUUUGGGCAUGCAAUUAAAUUAUUAAACUUCAUAGAAAUUUUAUUUGCUAAUUAAAAGAGGCAAUUUUUAUACACAUGCAAACUACGAGAAAAUAGAAACUAAUAUUUUUCAUGUGUUCUACUUAUUCUAUGGAACCUAUACAAAAAUUUUCAUAUUUUUUGGAUCAGCACAUGAUUUAUUAUACAAAAUCAAACAUACAACACAAUUUUGCAUAAAAGAAAAAGGGAAACGAUCACUGUUCCCACGGCCGGCCCGCUUGGCUUUGGCCCAAGCCGGCCUGAGCGCAUUCCCGCGCCCAGCGCCAUCUCCCUCUCUCUCACGCGGUCGCUGACGGGCGGGUCCCGCUCGUCAGCUCCGUCUUCUUCCUUGUGCCGCGGCUCCGGCGAGCUCAAGCACGCCGUCGGCGACCUCUCGGCCUCCGCGGUAAGACGUGUUAGCUUCCCCAACCUCACGCGCACCCAAAGACACCCUUUGCACCCCCUCUCUCCUAUCCUAGCCCCCAUGGCCACGGGUGCGGCGGACGGCCGCCUCGGCCGAGCAAACGCCGACCGCUACAAGCGAGUAAAACGCGAGAUGAAAGGCGUAAAAGUAUCGGUGGCUCACCGCGACUUCAACGGAGCAAGAAGUGGCAGCGGAGAGGCUCGGAGUGAGGCUGGCCACGGUGAAAUGUCCACGGCGGCGUUUCGGCCGGGAUUGGAGAAGAAUGGCUCGGUUGCGGGCUAGGACAGGUUAGAGCUUGCCAAGGGGGCGCAAACGGUUGCGGGGUUCUUGGCGGAGCUGCUGGGGGUUCUCUGGUGGCUUGGAAGGGAGCGAGGAGGACGAAUUCGGGAAGCGCAGGGAGCUCGUCGGCGUCGGGGUUAAGAGGGAAAAGAGAUUUUCCACGGCGUCUGGGUUUUAUCCUCGCAGCGUCGUGUUUGCUGCGGAUGAGGACGCCAGGGCGAUGCUCUGCAGGCAAGCACCUGCGUGGCCAGGCGCGUGGCGGCGCUGGACGCAGCGGCUAUGCUCCGGCGGCAGAGCAUCCCCCCUGCUCAAGCACUGUAGCGAGCUCUAUCCAACCAGUUUUGUGGUUUUGCAAAAUUCGCCCAAAUUUUGAACUAAAGGCAAAAUUCCACCAAAAUGAAAGUUGUGCAGAAUUUUACAAGCUACAAAACUCCUUUUGGUGACCAAAGCUAAAUCUGAGUGGAAAUUGGUGAAUUUAACCAAACAGUUUGAAAUUCAAAUCUCAAUUUAGGGGAAUUCAAAUUUUUGAAUUGGGGCAGAUCAGAAUUUGCAAAAAUUACUUUUGAUUUUCCAUAACAACUUGAAAAACUCCCAACAUGAAAGUUGUUCAACUUUUUGAGCUCUACAACUUUCAUGUUGGUCACUUUUCAAAAUUCCAAAUAGAUUUUGAAUUGGAGAUUCAAGUUGGAAAAGGGGACACUUUCUGGAAAUCUGUAUUUUCAAAAUUACUUUGAAUUUUGUAUUGAAACUUCAAAAACUCAAAACACCAAAGUUGUACAUCUUGACAAGAUCUACAACUUUUCUUUUGAACUCAACUUCAAAUUUUGCUUAGUUUUUAAAUUACACAAAAGGGGGCAAAUCUAGGGUUUUAAAAUCAGGGUUUCCCACCCCCCUACUCUCUCGGAAAUCAUCCACCCUAGGAAUUAAACAACCAACACAAGCAUCACUUCACAACAUAAGCACACUUUAAUUCCCUAAGCACAUUCAACCAAAUCAAACUUAUUUUAAGUUGAUGCAUAAUAAUGUGCUUAACAGAUAUGCGAUGCAAUGCUCAUGAUGACAUGAUCCAGUUUUAAUAACCGUAACAUCAGGGAUGUUUCAGCUAGUAGUAGUGAUAGGAAUAGGAGGGCCAUUAACAACAAUAAUAGAGAAGGGUUAGCGAACCAUAGGAGCAGAACAAGUGAAAGUGAGGAGGGCUGAGAUGUCAUAUGUGAAGUAGCACCUGAGUCGAAGUACCACUUGUUGGUCGAAGGAGGUGUUAGCGACGUCGUGCUGAAGGCAGCAGCAAGAUCCGUCAGGUCCUAGGAAGGUAGGUCGGUCAUAGGGUUGUAAACUUAGAGCAGCCCACAUCACAUACACGGAGAUUUGCAGCGGCAAUAAUUUUAGAAAGAGUUUAGAAAUAAUAACACAAGUUUCGAUUUUCCUAAUUGAUUAGAAAACAACAUAGCUUUCAAAUGAUUACAAUAACAUAAGUUCCAAUACAUUGCUAGCAUAAGUGACAUCCUCUGACAAAAGCAUGUAGAUGAGAACACUAUAUAGAAUUAUCAAGCCCACAGACGGUUAGCCACCAUAUUUCACAGACUGAAGACUUCACCUGCAACAAGGUGGGAAAAUAAACCCUGAGUACUCGAAUGUACUCUGUUGACGGUCCUUAAGUACUAAAAUUAAUAAUCAAAUAAACAUGAAAAAGGAUCAAUAUGAAACAAACAUCUAGAAUUAGGGUUUUAUCUGACAGAAUUCCACGAGCUUUGGUGUUUAUCUAUUUCUACAGGGGGUCAUCAGAGAAUAUGGAGAGAAGGCCCACAUGUCAUGUUUACAACGAGAUAAUUACGUGCCGCGCAAUUUUCCUCAAUCUAGAAGAGUCCAAAAGCCACGGGAACGAACGGGAACACGAUCGGGCCCGGGGGCAGGGCGCCCGCCCAGGCCAGGAGUCCAAUCAGGACUCUGCUUCGGGGCUAAACUCCACCGACCUAAAGGAUCAAUCUAAACCAUACAAUCUAUGUCGGUUUGAUCUGACGGCCCACAUUCACUUGAAAGGACUAUAUAACCAAGGCCUCUCCACCCCUAGGGAGAGAGGAGAAGAGAAGAAAUCAUUAUUCAGAGGUAGCCAUCAAAGUUAGGGUUUAGAGCUUCUCUCCCACAGAGAAUUAGAAUUAGCUACUCCCUAAUCCUUCAAGUUUAGAGGUUCGAUUAGAUAGCAAUUAGAGAAGUAGAGCACUACGCUCUGGAUUCGGAUCUUCGGUAAUAAAGAUUGGUAUUAUUCAUAUCUUUCUCUAAUUCUUUGUUCUAAUUGCAUUAUGUCUCUAAUUAUUAUGUUCUUAGUUUGUUCUAGUUCUAUAUUUGAUAUAGUUCUAAUUGAUAAUGUGUUUAUGUAUAAGUUUGCAAAGCGCUUAGCUCUUGACGCGAGGGAGUUAUGUGAUAGAUCACAUGUGAGCGUGGUGCUUAGAUGUUAUUUAUCUGCAAAUGUAUCCUAUUGGCCGGGUUGUGUGGUAGUUCGCGAUAGUGACAGCUUCGUUGAUUCUUAUAUAGUCCACCCUCCGUUGAUAGGACAGGCAGAACCGGUAUUGUGGAGUAAGUCGUGCGAUGCUCUGAUUUACUUUAUCAAUGUUCUUUAUACAUGAAUGAAGAGUCUUUUAUGCUAUAUAUGAUCUUGUAGAUAACUAGACUAGAUUAUGACUUAGUAGUUAGUAGAUAACUUCGAAUCCAUUCUCUAGCUAAUCCGACAUCACCUACAUAUAUGAGGAGUAGUCUAUUUUCUAAUCGCUGUGUUAUUUAUCCCUUGAACUUAUAAUUCAUUAUCAUUAUCUUUAUGGUUUACCCCCGGCUAAAGUAAGUGACUGUGUGACGAGUUUCUCAUUAGUAAUCAUGUUCUUGCAAGUUUAUCUCUAGUCUGUGCCUUGAUAGAUUUUGCCCUUAAUUUAAUCUCCUUAGAUCCCUUGAGCAAAAUUAUAAAUAACGAUACCUGGAAUACUUAUCCUGGUGAAAUGCUACAAUGAGGUGUUUUAACUGUGCGCUUGUGGAUAGAAUAGAUUAUUUUCUAGAGAGCCUUUACAUUUAUAAAUACCUUUGUACACUCUGGCACCAUGCUGGGGAUGACAACGUAGUAUCUAAGUGGUGUUUGCUAGUGUCAACAAGCAUUUCUGGCGCCGUUGCCGGGGAAUCUCAUAAGUAAGUCAUAAAAGGGUAAUACAUAGGAACGGUAAGGAAAUCCAGUAAAUCAGUCAAGGUUAUUCAUAUAAAAUUUUAGACUAGACUAUAGAGAAAUAAUUGCAUAAAACAGCUACUAAGUGAGAAAUCAUAACAAGGCACCUCUGCUUUGGCAGGUUCACCCUGUUGUUUUUCUAUGUUUAUAUUUUUAUACAGGGUAUAUCAGGAUUGACUUUGGGUACAUACAACUCUUCAUCAUCAGAACCAAAGCAAUCAAGAAAGAGAAGAAGAAGCUAGCUACCAAUUGCUGAAGCUAUGGCACAAAAGACCUUGCAAGAAUUCUCUGGUCCUAGUCUUGAGAACAUUCCAACUGGUCCAAGAUUUACAGUACAAGAAGGAGUACCCGAGUUUGAGCUCAAGUCAAGCCUCAUCAAUUUGGUACAAGCUACACAAUUCAGUGGAAAGGCACAUGAAGAUGCUAGUGCACACUUGCAGAAUUUCUUGGAGAUUGGAAGCACAAUCCACAUCAACGGAGUUGACAAAGACGUCAUACUACUUCGCCUUUUUCCAUUCUCACUAGAAGGAAAAGUGAGGAAGUGGUUCUACACUCAUCAAGAUAACAUCAACAACUGGACGAACUUGUUAGAUGCCUUUCUAUCAAAGUUUUUCCCUAUAGGCAAAACAACUAUCUUAAGAGGAAAUAUUGUCAGUUUCCAACAGCAGAAGACAGAAGCCAUUUCAGAAGCAUGGGAGCGUUUUCAGGGAUACAUUUCAGAUUGUCCUCACCAUGGAAUGGCCACAUGGUUACUUAUGCAGACCUUCUACCAUGGAUUAACCCAGAAGGCUCGUGAGUGUCUAGAUGCAUCUGCUAAAGGAUCAUUUUUGGAGCUUACAAUUGGAAAAGCAGAGAUACUUUUGGAUAAGAUAGCAGAAAAUCAAAGCUGGUUCCAAGAUAGGGCUCAACAAUGUCAUCAAACUGAAGAAAUACCAGAAGAAGUAAAUGCAUUAUGAACUAAGAUGGAAAAUUUGCUCUAUUGGAUUGACCAGAGGGCCAAGUUCAAAGAAGAUCAAAGGGCCAUUGAGACAGCAUACAAAUAUCAACAAACUUCGAGUCAACCCAAUAGCAAAGGUAUGAAUUCAGGUAAUACUUUCAAGCAACUUUCAUUAAAAGAGAUAAUUGCUCAACAAACCAAAAUUAAUGAUGAAGUUAAACAAAGGCUAGAUACAAAUGAAUCAUCUCUAGUAGAUAUACACAAUAAAAUGGAUUUUCUAUUAACUGCCUUUGAUGAGCAAAACACUCUUAAUAAAAGGGUAGAGCUUAAAUUAAUAAAGAUAGCUGCUGCACUGUCUGUUGCUACUAACAUUGAGCAGGUAAAAAAUAUAACUACUAGAGGAGGAAAAGCCACCAGAGAUCCCCCAUACCCAAAAGAGAAACAAAGAACAUCAGCACCAGUGCAACCAGCAGUGAUAGAAGAAGAAAGCCUAGUUGAAGCAGCAGAUCUGCCCCAACCACCAAGAACUAGAGAAAUGAGGAAAGAUUUUUACGACACCACUAUUUGCCAUUUCCCAAAAGAAACAGAGGACUGCAGUCGGAUGAGCAGUUUGGUAAGUUUGUAGAGGUCAUUCAGAAAUUAUAUGUCAACAUACCUCUGCUGGAUGCCAUACAGGUACCUACAUAUGCGAAGUACAUCAGAGAUAUUCUUAACAAGAAGAGGCCACUGCCCACCACUGAGGUUAUCAAGCUGACAGAAGAAUGUAGUGCGGCCAUCCUUAACAAACCACCAAAGAAGAAGGAAGAUCCAGGAUGCCCUACUAUUGAUUACUCAAUCGGAAACCAACACUUCAACAACGCACUUUGUGAUCUCGGAGCAAGUGUCAGUGUGAUGCCAGCAUCAGUCUAGAAAAAGCUUGAGCAUGCGACCCUAGAACCAACAUCAAUGUGCCUACAACUAGCGGAUCAAUCGGUUCGACGUCCGUUGGGUAUCGCCGAGAACAUUCCAGUCAAGAUCAGAGAUUUCCUGGUGCCAGAAGACUUUGUAGUACUGGACAUGAGUCCUGACUCAAAAGUGUCCAUCAUCCUUGGAAGGCCAUUUCUGAGCACUGCCAAUGCCCACAUUGAUGUCGGGAAAGGAGAAAUCAAGUUCAACAUAAACGGACAAGAAGAACACUUCACAUUCAAACCCAGACCAGAGAGAGACUCUACAGUGAAGGAAGUUCAUGAAGAACCACUAGAGACACCAUCUCCGGAGGAAGGUAAUUCAGAAGAUUAAAAGAUUUGGAGGUCCAGCUUGGGGGACCUAAAAAUCCCAAACCCUCACCGGGAGGUAAAUCGGUAUUUAUCCGCAUUAUUAAUUUUCUCAUAUUUAAAUUCUUGCAUAAUUAAAUCUUGCAUUAGUCACAUUUAUUCAUUAUUAUAUUAAUCAAAAGCCCCAUAUAAAUAAUAUUCAUGGUGUGUAACAACUCAUAUUUAUUAAUUAUUGUGGAGGCACAAAAAUAUUUUCCAUAAUCAUUUUAAUUAAGUUUCAAUUCUCAUAGAUUUUCCUGCAUUAUAUUUAAUUAUAGUAACCUUCUAGAAGCAUGACCCACACUCCUUGGGUCCCACAUGUCAUACACUUCACCUCACAUACAUCCCAUCACAUAUGUUUCCACUCACUAGACACCAAUAUGUUUCCACUCACUAGACAUCCUUCCACCGUCCAACCACCACCAACACAAUAUUAUUCUGCGUGAAAUCAAAGAAAGGAAGCAAGUGAAGGAGGCACACCCAAAUUGGACACCAGGGGUGGGCGCCCGCCCACCUACCCAGGGCGCCCGCCCUGUUCCUUGCUCAGCCUAUAAAUGGCCACCUCCAGCUCCCCUUCUCUUCACACACACAUUUCAGAAAACCUUGCAAGCUCAUAGUUGUCGGUUUCCAGAGAAUAGCUCUAAGUGUGAGAAGGUUGAGAGUUCUUUUGAGUGAGAGAGUGAGUAUCACCUAGUAAGUAGUGAUCCCGUUGUCUAAGCGGAAAUAAAAGUUGUUUAGGAGGAGGCUCUACCAAAAUAGAAACUUGUCUUGAACGAUUAACCCCUGGACUACUGAUAUUCCGGACAGCUGACCACUAACAUUUUCUCUCACAUUUUCCACUAGUUGUGUUUUUGCCAACUUUUGUUUGCAGGAUGUUUAAGAAGGUGAAGAUUGCAGGGAAGGUUCUCAAGUCCUCACAGCCAUCAGAGAUGAGCGUCGACCCGACGCCGACACAAGCUCCGUCAUCUUCAUCAGGUCAGCAAGUCAAGGUCCCUCUCAAGAUAGGAGACCUUGGACUGAAGACCCGAAGAGAGAAAGAAGUAUAUCAGCAAUUGAAGAACAAAGAUUUUAUUCACACCCCUACUCUCGAUCCAAUCUUACUACAAGAAAUAGGUAUGGACACUGAAUUUGACUUAAUUUUCCAAAUGAUAGGUUGGACAAAUUUUUGGAAUAUAACUGAGCUGGGUUCUCAUCUUCUCACCCUCGAAUUUCUUUGCACCUUACAAUAUUAUGAGGGGGGAAUUGUUUUUCGGAUGUUCAAACAGGAGAUUAUGUUGUCUUGGAGAGAGCUGAGCGACCAUCUUGGUUUCUCUUCAAGAUGCAUCCUGAACAUUGACUCCGACCUACCUAAUUUUGAGAGUAGCUAGUUUUGGAGAGAAAUAUCUAGAGAUAAUUUUUAUAGUCAAGCCCGAACCAGUGACAUGGAACACCCCACUCUUAGGAUGUUCCACAAAUGGCUUGGGUACAAUCUUUUCUAUCGUGAUGAUAUUUGGAAAGUAAGAGUAGGAGAUUUACAACUUUUAUAUGCUGCUAUUAAUAAAGUACCUACUUCACCUGUUACACUUUUAGUUUCUCAUUGGCUUAGUGUACCUAGUCUACAGAGACCAGUAGGAUGUACUUCACUUAUCACUCGUCUAGCCUCUAACCUUCAUUUACUAGAAAACUCAUCGUUGGAUUUCAUAGAGGAGUUAAGAAUUUAUCAUGGCUAUGACACAUUUAGACAGGCUCGGAUGUUAAAGAAAGAGGGGAAUGUAAUGUAUAUGCUAUAUGAUGAUAAAGGCAAGAUUCGGUUACCUAACCUGAACCUUGGCCUAUACGUUGUUCAAAAUUUUUUGAUUGAGAUUGCAGCAACACCAGUGAACCAGAGAGCUCCACAGCAAGUGGCAUCUGAAAGGAUGACCACCCAUCGAGAACGCACCUGGUAUGGAGCUGAUCCCGGACCAGAAGAAGCAGCGCACCUGCAUUAUUGCAAUUACAACCCCCGAGUCCUUCGAGACCCAUGGUUCGACAUGCGCAACCACAAGAGCCAACAGAGGAGACAUGGCCGGAGAGCCAAGACCACCAGUGGACAAACCCGCCUUUCCAUACGGGCAGGUACUCCACUGAUCCAUAUGGAGCUUCAGGAUCCAGACCUCCGCCCCAAUUUGAUACAGGACGAUACUCCGACGCCUCCUACGCUUUCACGAAUGACUACUAUCAAGAGGUCGGUGCUUUCUUCACUCGUACCGACAACACUCUCCUCGACAUCCAGAACACGCAAGCAGAACAUGGAAGACUCCUGGAAGAGCAACAAAAAUGGAACCAGGACCACGCCGCUGCAGUAGAAGAGCUGAGACAAGAUACAACAACAAUGAACAACAACAUCACAACCAUGAUGCGGUUCUGGAACAUCGGGUAAGACCGACGUCAACAUCAAGCUUGGGGGAGUUCCUCCCCAAUUUAUCAAGUAAGUUUUUAUUUGCUUUUCUUAUUUAUUCUUUUCUAUUUUAGUAUUUUAUCUUAAAGAGAAAAAAAAACUUAGAAAACCCAAUAAAUAUUUUCUUACUGCAUUUUAUAAACAUGAAAACAAAAUAAAAAGAGUGUGUAGAUAAGUGUGCUUUAUUUUCCUGCUAAGUUUAAUCUCUAGAAAAAAAUAAAAAGACCAAAAAGAUGCAUGAUGGAAAUGAUGAAUAGUUGCUCUGUUGCUUACUCUCAAGUACCUAACUUUUAUAUUAGAGUUCUUCCAGGAAUUACUAAAACUUACUAUCUUUGGGAAGCAUAAAACUAAUGUCUAGGUAAGAGAAAGGCAUGAUAUAAAGUUGAGCUGCUGUUUAUGUUGUUCCUACUACACUAAGUUCUGGAGAUUUAUUUUGAAAACUUACAAAUCACAUGAUGAGUUCCUAGCAUUACAACUACCUACCACAGCCAUACUUGCUAUAAUAUCUUUUACUAUAUUUACAUUGAGUUUGAUCGAGCUGUGUAGACCCUUAGGAGCUUUUCAUGUGGUUAAAUUAAGAUAUUCACUUGCACACAUCUACCACAGCAUUCAUCACCAAUCAUUAAAAUUGUUAAAAAUAUUAUCACUCACUGUCCCAAGUAUUGUUAUUCUCUUUCUCUAAAAAGAUUCAAUACAGAAGAGGCAUGGGUUAUGCAAAAAUAUGCGAGGAAAUAAAAAGGGGCAAGUGCCCGGAACCUCAAAAAAGAAAGAAAAAGAGUGAGACGAGAGGUAAAAAUGGACAAGUGUCAGGAGUAGAAUUAGGGGUACAAAGUUGCCCACUUGAGCAGAAAAAAAUAGACAAGUGUCCGACAGUAGAAUUAGGGGUAACUACUACCCACCUGAAAAAAAGAAGAAAAAGAAAGAAAAGAUAGCCCAUGUUCUCCCAAAGCAAAAAUCAGAGAAGAGGAGAGAUAACAAUAUGAGGAGCUAUGAGAACUAAGUUUUAUUAUCACUUAUGCAUUUUUACCAUCACUAUCAUUUACUCCAUCACACAUGCACAUCUUGAUUUAAUUAUGUGCUGAGUUCCUUUGGAUCCAUGGCUCGAUUAGACAACAUAUGUAUGAGCUAUUUUUCACUCCUAUAAGCUCUACUUAAAUAUUCCAUUAGCUAUAGGUAAGUGACAUAUUGGUAAGGAUCCACAAAUACCACAUAUAGAGAGACUUGAGAGAAUCAUUGUUAGGAACUCUGAGUUUUAUUUUGAAAAACUUAUGAAAAACUCUAGAAUAAAGGUGAAGUAUAGACAGGAGGAAUAGUGCUUGACUUAAUUAUUUUGUCUUUCAAUUACUUAAGACUUAAGUGCAGGUACUAAACUCCAUAACACUUCACUCUAAUCUGGAAAAAAUUUUAUAUAAAAGCAUGUGUGCCUGUCAGGAAAGAAAACAUCAAAGCAACUCCUGAUCCAUCUGAGUUUAGCUAUUUGCUCAGGGACGAGCAAAGGGUAAGCUUGGGGGAGUUUGUUGACAGUCCUUAAGUACUAAAAUUAAUAAUCAAAUAAACAUGAAAAAGGAUCAAUAUGAAACAAACAUCUAGAAUUAGGGUUUUAUCUGACAGAAUUCCACGAGCUUUGGUGUUUAUCUAUUUCUGCAGGGGGUUAUCAGAGAAUAAGGAGAGAAGGCCCACAUGUCAUGUUUACAACGAGAUAAUUAUGUGCCCCACAAAUUUUCCUCAAUCUAGAAGAGUCCAGAAGCCACGGAAACGAACGAGAACACGAUCGGGCUCGGGGGCAGGGCGCCCGCCCACCCCCCUUGGGCGCCCGCCCAGGCCAGGAGUCCAAUCAGGACUCUGCUUCGAGGCUAAACUCCACCGACCUAAAGGAUCAAUCUAAACCAUACAAUCUAAGUCGGUUUGAUCUGACGGCCCACAUUCACUUGAAAGGACUAUAUAACCAAGGCCUCUCCACCCCUGGGGAGAGAGGAGAAGAGAAGAAAUCAUUAUUCAGAGGUAGCCAUCAAAGUUAGGGUUUAGAGCUUCUCUCCCACAAAGAAUUAGAAUUAGCUACUCCCUAAUCCUUCAAGUUUAGAGGUUUGAUUAGAUAGCAAUUAGAGAAGUAGAGCACUACGCUCUGGAUUCGGAUCUUCGGUAAUAAAGAUUGGUAUUAUUCAUAUCUUUAAUUCUUUGUUCUAAUUUUAUUAUGUCUCUAAUUAUUAUGUUCUUAGUUUGUUCUAGUUCUAUAUUUGAUAUAGUUCUAAUUGAUAAUGAGUUUAUGUAUAAGUUUGCAAAGCGCUUAGCUCUUGACGCGAGGGAGUUAGGUGAUAGAUCACAUGUGAGCGUGGUGCUUAGAUGUUAUUUAUCUGCAAAUGUAUCCUAUUGGCCGGGUUGUGCGGUAGUUCGCGAUAGUGACAGCUUCGUUGAUUCUUAUAUAGUCCACCCUCCGUUGAUAGGACAGGCAGAACCGGUAUUGUGGAGUAAGUCGUGCGAUGCUCUGAUUUACUUUAUCAAUGUUCUUUAUACAUGAAUGAAGAGUCUUUUAUGCUAUAUAUGAUCUUGUAGAUAACUAGAGUAGAUUAUGACUUAGUAGUUAGUAGAUAACUUAGAAUCCAUUCUCUAGCUAAUCCGACAUCACCUACAUAUAUGAGGAGUAGUCUAUUUUCUAAUCGCUGUGUUAUUUAUCCCUUGAACUUAUAAUUCAUUAUCAUUAUCUUUAUGGUUUACCCCCUGCUAAAGUAAGUGACUGUGUGACGAGUUUCUCAUUAGUAAUCAUGUUCUUGCAAGUUUAUCUUUAGUCUAUGCCUUGAUAGAUUUUGCCCUUAAUUUAAUCUCCUUAGAUCCCUUGAGCAAAAUUAAAAAUAACGAUACCUGGAAUACUUAUCCUAAUGACAUGCUACAAUGAGGUGUUUUAUCUGUGCGCUUGCGGAUAGAAUAGAUUAUUUUCUAGAGAGCCUUUACAUUUAUAAAUACCUUUGUACACUCUGGCACCAUGCUGGGGAUGACAACCUAGUAUCUAAGUGGUGUUAGCUAGUGUCAACAUACUCAACUAGACUUACACGACAGAAGAGAAAUAAAAGACUCUCCCGGAUAUGCAAGGCUAUUUGGUGGAGUUGGUUGGAUAGCAUAACUUCACCAAAAAGAGCAUUACUAUCAUGAGUCCUUACUUUCAAUCUUUUAAUCAAUAUUUUAGCAUCAAGUUCAGUUUAGCUACCAUAGCUAUAUUUUGCACCUAUUCUAAAGCAACCACAUGAUUAAUAAGCAUCACAUUAAUAACCAUAUCCGGUUUAUCAUGUAGCCAUCGUAAUCAUCAUAACCAUUAAGUUUCAUUUAGUGUAUCUACGUUGCCACUACUCAAUACAACUUCUCACUAUCCAGGAGAGACGGUGAUUCAAAUCGAUUCCUAUCCAGAUGGAGGGGUAUUCCUAGCACUCACCCAAGCAUACCUUGCGAACGCAGCUUUAGGUCACCUUUAGCACAACUCAGGACUAAGUCGCGGGUCCGAUCAGCACCGCACCCCUAGGGACCGCAAAUCUGCUAGGGUCAGGACUCUAACCUGACACCUAGGUCUUAUCUCAUCGACUCCCUACACAUCCUUACUACUAACCGGGGUGCACAUUCAAAUAGAAUGGGGUGCCCGGCCUGAAUUGACUCAUUGGCUUCACGGUCGGAACGACUUAUCCGGCCAACUAAGUGUUAGGCAUGCAUUCAACACGACGAGAGGACAUACAUCGUCGAUCCUUAAACGACACAGACAGGGAUAGAUUCACACCCAAGACCUCCAUGCCUUGUUGUUUCACUAUCGUCAUCCCACCGAGUCUCCAUUCAUUAUUAAAGCCAUGAUUAUUUCCAUGAUAGCAAAUAUAGCCAACUGUGAUCAGGUAUCCACCUAUAUCUCGCAGGUGACAGGAAAUCACCUGGCUUCUACUGAGCUUAGCAUAGCUAAGCAUAGAAUGUCUUUCUUAUACUAGUAAGGGUUUAGGUAGUUUCAUAUAGUGGACAGGGUAGGUAAUAUGCACCAACGGUUUCAUUCAACUGCUAUCACCUAAUGCAUCAUAUAAAGUUAUACUCUUGUGCUUUUGUAAAAAGAGAGGGUAGGAGACUUAAAUGCUCCAGGGCUUGCCUGGAAUCCGACACAAAUCAGUUAAGUUAGCUUGCUCCGUCUUGAUGACAUCUAAGGUCACAACACUUGUGUAGUCCUUCCAUCAUCUAGAUAGGUCCACCAUCAAGUCCUUCACGUGGUUUAUCUAGCGUACCUAAAUGAGAUACAAGAUGCAUUUAGGUACGCUAGAUAAACCACUAGGUAUGACCAUACAGAAGUAUGGCAAGAGCAUGGUUACACACAAGAAGCAUGGCAAGAGCUUGGCAAGAGCAUGGCAAGACAAAGCAUCACACACAAGAAGCAUGGCAAGAGCAUGGUUACACUAAACAUACUUAAGCACAUCUCAUUGCUCAACUUAAUGAUUACACAACCAACCUGCUAAGACAACAAGGAAUGCAACACUAAGCAUAUUAGACAUGGCACACAUGUUUCACAUGAUUUCAGGUGUAUUAACUUGGCCAUUUUCAAAGACAUGAGUCACUUAAAAACACACACAAAGUAAAGUAAUCAAGCAUUCAUGCAUUUUCAGCAAUUCUGGCCAUACAUGCAGCAGCUGAGUAAAUAAAUCAUAACUAGAGUUCUACAAAUCCAAAAUCAUAAAACUGUGUACAAUUCAUAUUUAAUCAUCUCAGCAUGAUUAGUAAUCUAACUAAGUCAAACAUGCAUAUUUAUAGAAUCUGGUCCAGGAAUUCCAGAGAACAAGCAUUUUGACAGAUAAACUUUAUACCUUUAUAACUCACAAACAAUUUAGCCAAAAGAUAUGAAACAUUAACACAAGCUAUAUAAAUGAGUUAUCUACAAAUUUUAUAUAGACAAGCAUAACUGGAGUUACACAACUCCAAAAGACAUGCAAGAAGACAUUCUGAAGAGCUUAAUAAAUUAUCUAUAUUUCAUCUUUAGACAUCAAAGAAUGAUUCAUAAGUUUGGCAGGUCAAAAUAUUAGGAUUACAGAAUCAGGUCCUAACAAGACAGAGAGCAACCAUUUUUAUACCCAACUUUGAACAGCCAUAACAUACAAACCACAUAACUACAUGCCACAAAAUUUUAGCAGCAGAUAGAUAAAUGAAUUAUCUACAACUUUGCUAUAAACAAGAUUCCCAGAAAACAUCAUUUACAUAUUGUAAUCCAAACAGUUCUGGAAACUGUCUAGAAACAACAAUUGCAAACAAGUAAUUAUUAACUUAUGUUUCAAACAUUCAUUUGAGCAAAACCAUUAUUACCAAUAGUUUGCACAUAUCUAAAUAACACCAGAAAACAUAGUGGUCAUUACCAAAUAAAUUUAUUUAAUGCCUUUCUUAAUUUAUUUGAGUGAUAAGGUGAAUUAAAUAACAUAGCAAAUUUAUAGUAGCUUCUACAUACUAUCCAUAGUCUACUGCCCAAAUUUCAUUGCAUUUGAAUGAACAUAGCAACAUAUUUGAAAAAGACAAAUUACUAUUGAAAUUAACCAUGUUAGAGCAAGAUAAAUGCAUAAAUCAUAUUUUCUUCAAACACAUGACCAUAUUAUAUGCCAACAUGAUACAAAAAUAUCAUUAAAUUGUACUGGAACAACAUUUUCCAUUUUUACAUUUUUAUUUAUAAUUAUAAACCAUUUAGCAAGCCUUAAGCAAGUUAAAUCAAUAACUCAAUCAUACUGUAACAAACAUUCAUGCAAAUUUUACGAUAUAUCAAACAUCACAUGAAUAGCAUGCCACAAAAAUUUCACUUCAUUUGAAGCUCUACAGCAGCAGUUAAAAAAGACCAAAUUAACUAGCAUUAAACACCUAGCUGCAUAAAUCAUUUUCUACAGCCAAAACUUUACACUAAAACAUGCCAUACUAUAGAUCUACUACAUAGAUAAUUUCACAAGAAUUCCAAACAGUCCACAUUUUCUACGAAUUUCUAUGCAUUUCCAAAGUUCCAGCAUUUCUCAAAACAAAUAGGUCCUCUGAGUACUAUUCAUAUGAGUCAUAGGCUCUGCAGAAAACCCCCUGGAUGAAGUCAAAUUUCAAUAGGAAGGCCAUAGUCCCGAGGAAAACAGAGGCCUCGCCGGAGCUUGCUGUUCUGGCCAGUCGGAGCCUCAUCGGCGGCGAUGGAGUGGUGGGGAAGCACCGGGAGGCUAGCACACACUCGCUGGUGGUCUUGGAUGGCUGGGAGAGGGCCCGUGGCGGCGUGGCCACGUACGCCGGCCGGUCCAACGACGGCAGCUCCGGUGGUAGCCAUCCACGGCGGCAAUUAGGGAUGGACAAAGGGUGCGUCGAGGGCGGCAUGAGGAGAGGAAGAUAGUGCUGCGGUCGGUUUGAACAGAGGAAGGUCGAAAGCCUCAGAUGGUGGAGAUCCAUGGGGCGGCAAUGGUGGACGUGGUUGCGUUCUCGCGCGGUGGAGAGCGAGGGCGAGCGGAGAGAGUGAGAGAGGACGCCAGGGAGGAGUGGCGAGCGUCUGGGAAUGGCUUGGCAUGUCCCCAUCACAAGUAGAGGCAGUAGCAUGCUGCAGCAACGGUGGGGGCGCGACCACCGCAUUGUUGUCACGCACAGGCCACGCGUCGGCCUUUGAGGCAUUCUCCCGAACAGCUGGCGAGUGACGGUGUGGUCGACAUUGGAUGCAAAUAUGGGCUAGCUACUUGCAGAAUUUGGAGAUGGGCCAAAAAGCAAUGUUGUCAAACUCGGCCUGCUAUACAAAAUACGUUUAAGGUGCCAAGUCAUUAGAUCCAUGGAUCAGUGGGUAAUCAGCUGCCAACCUUUGAGUGUAAACAUAAAGAUAGAGAUUUGCAAAAACCCAAAAUUGAUGAUCAAGAUGAAGUAAAACUUGAUGAAAUUUCUUGCAUGUUAUUCUCCACAAAGUUUACUUCAACUUUUAUUAAGGGUUCAACUCAAGAUUCUUAAUAAAUUUUGGAGAACGCAGAAUGCCAAAGUGUUGAACUGCAAUUCCUAGACUUGAAAUUCGAAGUGCUGGAAACUAUAGCAGAUUCAAUCUUGAGACCAUUAUUUAACAUGCUUAAAGGAUGAUUUAGACUUAUGCAGUUUAACAAAGUUGGUAGAAUACAAAAUAUACUACAACUAUUAUUAAAGGUUCUUAUACUGUUUUCGCAUGGUUAGGAAAAUACAUGGCUCCCAACAUGGAUACCCAAAACUGAACACCUUGAGGACUUAGCCAAAAUUCUGGAGUUCCAAAACAGCACUGCAUUAAACCUUGUGAACUUAAUUUGACUAGGUUAGGGACCAAACUAGCUCUUGAUCAUUAGAAAAGUUUGUUCUAUAGAAUCUAAACUAUAACUUUCAUUUAAGGUCAAACCUCAGAACUAGUACAUAAGUCAAACUUUCACUUUGGUCAAUGCAACAACUUGAUAAAGCUUGAAUUAAGGUUUUAGGCCAAUUGAAGCAUUUUUUGGGCACAAGCUCAACAUGAACCCUUCAUGACUUUUGUUAUAGAGUACAUCUAGAGUCCUUUGGGCAAGGUUGCAAGGAUUGGUUGAUGACUCAUGGUUCUAUUCGCUUAAUGAGGCCAUUCCAACAAGCAUAUAUUCUUAUCAUUUCAUGUGACCUUUUGGUUCCAAACUUCAUAAAACUUUUUGAAUGAUCACUAAGGUAGUGAUGGAUGUGGGACACAUGAAACAGGUUUCAUUAAUGUUACCCAAGCGUGCAUUUUGAAAAGGGCCUAUAUGUAAGCAAGGGUGCAUUCUCCAAGUUUAACUUGAGGCUCACUUUCAUGGAUUGACCUUAACAUGAUCAUCACCAUCUUGGCAUGUUUGAGAUCAAAACCUAUGGUCUAACUAGUGGCAAACACCUGGGGUGUUACAACCCUCCCCCUUAAAAGAAUCUUGUCCCGAGAUUCAGGGUGAAAGACUUCCAAGGGUAGAGAAGCAUGUUAUUCACAUUCAACAUUGGCGAUAGCAGUCAACUACUUAUCUCUGAGCAUCACAGAGGCUAAUUUGGUCAGGACACUUUCUGAUACUUGUUCUUCAUAGUGAAUUUUUGUCUAAAGAAACUCCUUCAUUGACUUUCGUAAUUAUUGUUACUUUGGGAGGAAUUCAAGACAACAUAGUUCUUCAUUCCUAAUAUGUAGGAUGGAUGGUUCAGAGCACAAUAAAAUACUAAUUACAAUGUCUCCAUCUUUGUUCACAAAGUUCAAAAAGCAGUCCUCUACUAGUAUGGCUUGAGUAUAACUUUCCACAAAGGAUGAGAUCAUGAACUAGAUAAACAUCCUCUGAGGUUAUGAGAAACCAACUAAUGAACAAACAAUGUCUAAUCCAGCAAUAAAGUCUAUUAACUCAGAUGCCAAUCGAUGGAAAGCUACAUAAGGUUACAUGUGUGCAGUUCUUUUUCUCUAAUAACCAUGUUGUAUUAUCUAAGUCUAUUAAGUCAAUGCUCAACAUUCAAGGAAUUUCAUGGCUCCAAGUGUUAACAAUUACCUAGGUUGUAUGAGAUACAAUCUCUUGGGUAAAAUGAACAUAUAAGAUACCCAAGGCAUGUUAGCAUUGGAUAAGCAUUGCUAAAGAAGGAUGGUAGCAUGGUCUAGAGGACAACAACAGUUGCAAGUAUUCAUCAAACUAGGGAAACAAGCCACUACCAAGUAUGUCAACUACAAUUUUCCAUCACUGAAGUAGUUGCUUAGUAAGUUGGGUCGGUUUGCACUGUAGCAAAAUAGCUUGGUGAAACUACUUUCGACAUUGAGGCUUCCUUUCUAGGGUCAAACAACAGCUCUAAGAUAAUAAUUCUAAGAUUUGUUGUUUAACACCUCUCAAAUCAUUUUUGACUUAUAGAACACCUAGAUUGCGCAACUAUUUGUUGAUAUGAUAGGGUAACAGCUAGGCACCAAAGGGUGAAAGGCGUCUUUUAUAGGUCACCCUAAUGUUCAUCCAAUGGUAGCACAUUAAGCAUAUUAUUAACAUCAGCACUAAUUACAAGCACGACCUUCUAACUGGUAACUAAUCAGCGGUCUCUUAACACUCAAAAGUUCCAAAGCUUUCUUCCUAGUGGCAACAAUUAUAGUUGAUGCAUAUGUAGGUAGUCAAGAUCAAAGUCAGCCAAAAAGAGAUCACAAUAGAAUGGUCGAUUAUGACUGUGUGAUUUCCAUGCACAUAAAGAUCAAAAUUUGGAUAGCCAGGUCAUAAGAAUAAUGCAACAAUCAAUUCUUGUGUGGCUGAUAACUCAUCCAACUUUAAGUGUUGUGUGCCCUUUGGAUUCAAUAGGGAUGACACAAGUUAUUCACCAAACAACUGAUAUUGUUACAUGGGUAACAAAUAGAGUCUCUUGUCUACCACCCCUUGCAGUCUGUUAAGGAUUAUGUCGGUAACCUAUUCUUCAAAGGUUAUCUUCUUAGCAACUUCAGAAGGAAGUCCUAUUACAUAAGUUUGAUAUAGAUCCUUUGAUUGAAGAUAAGGAAAGAUAACCAAGGACAAGCUCAUGAGAAAAUAACACAGUGGUGUAGUUUUAUAAUAGAUCAUGACUAGCAACCACGAUACCAGUCUGUGCUGAGCAGCACGACCUUGUGUCUACGACCACAGGAUGCUCUUAGUUUUGUCACAGCACUGUCAAUCGUUAGUCAUGACAACAUUAUUGAUCUUACAACCAACAUGAAAUCUCACAUGACAUAGGUAGGUCUUGCAUGGACAAGAAUCCUGUGCAAGAUAAAAUUAAGCAAGCAAAGAUGACAGCAAGAUUUGGAGGUAUGUAGAAGGUUAAAGGAUGAGAACACGGCACAAGACAGAAAAAUGGAUAUACCUUGUGCCCAUUAAGGUCAUUACCCAAUAAUUAAUUUAUGGGAUGCUGGAGGUGCUCAAGACAUCAUGCUAGGAGUGCCUAACGGGCGAGGUAGAGGCUAGGGAGCUCGGACCCCACCGUUGUGGCCAAGAGCACCGAGACACUCACCGCCGAUCCUCCCCAUCAGGCAACCUACACCUCUGGCCUGUGAUGGGCUAGAGGAAAGUCUCGUGGGGCCAUAGGCUCUGCUGUCGGGCCCACCAAGGGCCCGCGAUGACCUCUUGGUCCACCACGGGCAGCGACCGGUAGCCCAGGUCUCCUGCCUAGUGGGAAAAGCACGGUCGGGACGUCGACAUCACAGCAUGGCACAACGCCACCACCACCGCCACUAUGAUCGGAGCCUGAUCCUACAUCAGAGGGGCAUAAGACCGCGUCGACUUCACUCUCGUUCGGGCUAAGGAUCGUGAUGGCAACUUAUGCCUCUUCCGCGUGCACUUCUCUAAGUUCUUACAUAGACAUUCCAGUUCACCACUUAAAGUCUACUCUUGACCUUAUCGACACUCCACCAGCAUCAAGCUAUCCUAAGGGGGACUCCUCGGAUGAUGGCACAUGGGCCAGCACAGAUUUCUCUAGGGUUAGUGACCUAGAGACGCUUCUUCGAUUCCUUGAGGUGAGUAACUAUUGCUUUGGUUACUAUGACUUCGAUGACGGUGACAAUGACCCUCUCAGGAGUGCUUCAACCUCGAGAUCGACAUGACACCCCCAGUAGGCCAAGGGGGCGCUGGGCCAGUAGAACCCUGUGAUACUACUCCUCCAUGGGACGCGCUCUUUGUGGAUCACAUAAGCCUUGAGGAGCCACCUCUACCCUAGCAGGACCUCAACAUCCUGACCUCGAGCAACUUAAGGAGUUCGAGGACAAGCUCGAGGAGGAUUGUAGGCACUUAUGCCAGUUGUGUGCAACCCUCGAGCAGGACCAACCAGUCCAAGGGGACAGAGGAGUAGCCUAUUGUCACGAACAUGACAUGAACCGCCACAUGAAUGAGGAUACCAGCAGAGAAGACCCCUCUAUUUAGCAUAGCCAGCCAGAACGUAGUGGCUGCUGCACUUCUCCUCAGGGCAAUGCCUGAGCCAUUGAUGCCCGAGGGGAGGAGAGUCCACCAGGGGCUCCAAGGGCUCCUAGAGCAUGCUGUUGUGCAGAACAAGAGAGUUCUGCCUCACAGCACCACGAUUCUCGGGCAGGUUGGCCUAAGAAUCAAUCAUCCCUAAGAAGGCGGCCUCAGUCCGUGGCCCUGAGCCUGUCAACCCCUAGGGUGGCGAUAAGGGCAAAUUUGUCCACGAGUGCAUCGGCACAAACAUGGACACGCGAACCACCCUUGAGGCUCAACACCACGACAGGGACGAGGGUGAGUCUCGAAGGUACCGACCGCGGUAAGGUAGAAGAUAUGAUUGUGAGCAUGGCCACAAUUCAUUACCUGAUCCCCUAGGUCCCCAUGUCUUUAGCGACCGAUCCGCGGGGCCAAGUUCUUGAACUAUUUCCGCCCGCUGGCCAACCUCACCAAGUACUCUGGGAGACCAACCCUGAGCUUUGGUUCACGGAUUACCGCGUCGCAUGCUAGCUAGGUGGUGCGGAUGAUGACCUGCUCAUCAUCCGCAAUCACCCAUUGUUCUUGGCUAACUUAGCUAGAGCCUGGCUAGAGCACUGUUGACACUUCUAACACCACUUAAGCUAAGUUGUCAUCCCUAUCAUGGCUUUAGAAGUGUGGUAUGAAAAUUGUCCACUAAUAAAAGAAAUGUAAGAUCCGCAAGUGUAUAGAUUAAAUACCAUUGUAGCACUUCACCGAGAAGUAUUCUAGGUAUUAUUAUUUAUAUUUAGCUCAAGGGAAUGAACUAAGGACUUAAACAAUGAGAUAAACUUGCAAAACAUGACUACUUAUGAGUGAUGGGGUGCAUAGCCACCUACUUAGUAGGGGGUAAACCAUGAUAGAUAAAUAAUAUAAGUAUAAAAGCUCAGGGAAUAAAUCACACAGGGAUUAGAUAUAGACUACUUAGCUUAGUAGUAGGUUGACGUCUAAUUAGUUCAAGAGAUAGAAAAUCCUAAGUAGUUCUAAUUUAUCAAGUCAUUCAUCUAUUCUAAUACUACAGCAUCAUACACAACACAAAAGACUCUUCAUUUAUGUAUAAGGGACAUUGCUAUAAACAGCCAAGACAGAACUGGACUUCCUACGCAACUGUGGUUCUACCUAUCCUACCAACGGGGCAUGGAAUACGAUGGACUCAACGGAACUGUCACUUCCGCAAUCUACCAUGCUACCUAGCCAAUAGGGUGUAAUUGCACAUAAACGACAUCUAAGCACCAUGCUAACAUGACAUCUAUCACUUAACUCUCCCACGAAGAAAGCUAAGCGCGCAAACAUAUACAUAAACUCAUUAUCAAUCAUAACCAUAUCAAAUGUAGAACUAGAAUAAACUAAGAACACAAUAAACAAAAACAUAAUGAUAUUAGAAUAAAGUCAAAAGAGAGAUAAAAGAUAAUACCAAUCUAUGAUGAUGAAGAUCUAGAAAUUCCAAGCAUAGGCGCCCAACUCUUCCUCUAUGUAAUCUAAUCCUAUGUAGAAGAUGAAAAUUAGGAGUAGCUAAUCUCAGAUGAGAAUAAAAAUAUAAUUCUAUUUUUCUCUCUCAAUUCUGAGCUCUCCUCCAGGGGGUAGGCUUGUAUUUAUAGCCUCCUAGGAAGCACCAAAGCCCUUGGAUCAAACUUACUUAAACAUGCGCUUGAGAUUUAUACUCAAAGUCGGUAGAGGCAAAAUCCACGAGGUUGGCUCUGAUUGGAUAGACCCCCAAGGCGGCCGCCCCACCAUGCCCUGGGCGCCCGCCCCUGCCCUAUGGCAGGUGGGCCACAAGUUUCAGGGAUCGCCUUCCUAGGAUAGUUGUGGUAGCCCCAGGUGGUGACAGCCCUAACGGCCGAUGUAUUCCACCAUGUUUGGAUUUGUGUUAUAGGACCCUAGUCGGAGCUUCCUAGUCCCCUUCUCAUCUUUCCGUGACUAGUGUUGUGAUGUCCUGAAGUGUUAUUGUGUGAUUGCUUUACCUACCAUGAAUUAGUUAUUAUAGAACCCUAGUAAUAGAGAAGUAUUUAGGAACCUUAAACUCUCCCGUUGUCCUCUCACUUUAGCUAUCUACUCUUUUAUCAUAGAAUUCUCUGGUGUGUGUCAUAUAUGCAUAAUUCCUAUCGUCUAUUAUUUAACCCUACUUUAUUCUAGUUGGUGUAUUAGUUAGUAGAUACAUGGUGGUGAACUAUCAAUUCCUAGUGGUAAAAUAUAAAUAACGAUACCUAGAAUACUCCUAAUAAAAUGCUACAAUGGUCUUCUAUGCGCUUGCGGAAUCCUUCAUAUUUUAAUUUUGCAUAAGAAAUACCAACAAGCAUUUUUGGCACCAUUGCCGAGGAGGCAAUUGGCAUAAAGAUUCUGAUAAUGAUUUUGAUAUCUGCUAAUUUUGUGUACCACUAGCUUUAGUAGGAUUACCCAUUUGUUCUAUUGAGUGUGUAAUAGAUAGGACAUCAGAUGCCGCUUUGACCUUGCAACAACAUUUCACAAGAUUGAAGAACCCAGGGUGCUCGAACAUUCAAGAUCCAUCAUUCUGGAACCCUGCCAUCUCAUAGGUUUGUGUAUACACAUAUAUAUUAUUUAUUCUAACUAUGUGUAGAUUGGAGAAAAGGUCAUCGUCAUAAGAGUACAAACCCCAUCACAUGUGACGGAUAUUUACGCUACGCCACUCAUCCUAGUUGUGCAUCAUGGUAAGUGUGAUCAAGGUGGAUAGUCUUACUCAUGGGCUUUAAACCUUAUGAGUAGUUAUAUUUUUAUUUUCUUGCAUAUCACUACAUGUUUACAUUGAAUCGUCCAUGCAUCCACUUCAUUUAGUUUUCCCAUCCACAUCAUGUUUAGUUCCUUGCAUGCAUACAAUUCAUCUGCAUCUAAAAAUAUAAUAAUAUUUCUCACUAUGAUCAUACUCUGUCAUCACUAUUGAGUAAAUCUGUAUAAUGCUCUCGUGCUACCUUUGUUUGCUAUAGUAUAUAUUUAGGUUUGGGGUAGUUUCAUACAUUUCUUAAAUAAAGCAUGGUGCCUAGUUUAUGAGUGGUGAUCUUACUCUCAAAGGCUUUUAAUUACACGUGGUUAAAAUGCCUUCUUGAAUUGAAUUAGAUAUGGUGUCUAGGUUGAUUUUUGAGCUAAUAGUAUAUUAUAGUAGAUAUUGGAAUCUUUUUGUUGGACUAACCCCUGCAGGAAAAUCUCAAAUAUAAAUUGGGACAGUCCUGAGAUGAACUCAUACUAGAGAUGAAGGGAGACACAACUCAUACGUAGCCAAGUAGAAAGAAGGGUGCCACAAAACAUGACCCGUGAUCAAAGCACUCACUCCAUGAAGUUGCAUUCUCUUGUCAACUACUAAUUAUCAAGAAUCAAGAAAAGAUUGACAAGAGAAAAGCAUGCAACGUUCUUCACUCUCACCUCUGAGGUUGAGAAGCUGAGACAUGAGGAAGAAGGUCAACUCCUCUAGAUGGUCGAACCAAGUUUUACUCAUUGCUCCACACAUUGGGAUAAAAUAAUAAGAAGAGCUAAAGGUCCAAGCAUAAAUAAGACAGAGAACAAAUAAUGGCAAGAAAGGAGUACAAUAAAGGAGACAACAUAGCCAAGCAAGCAAAGUUUCCACAAGAUGUUAUGGCUUCAACAUGCUUCAAUACUAAAGGUAACAUCUCUUGGUAAGUGAUCAUUGUUGACACCAUUUUUGGACACGUAUCUUUCGGCGCAUAUCUGGGAGUUAAUGAGGUGUGGAUCGACAGCCGAAUAAAGUGGUGACUGGUUGAUGGAAGAGUUGCCGAUGAGAGUUGAUGCCAAUGAUAAAAUACAUGAUGUGGUCAAGUCCAAGAGUGGUGAUAAAUCUGUGCCGAUGACUGAUGUUGAUGGGUGCCGAUGGCUUCGAUAGGUGAUUUGCCGAUGAACACAGAAGGAGGCACAGGGAGUGUCUAUCGGAUGGUGAUGGUAUGUCGAUCGGUUGUGGUGGAUAGAUUAAUCUUUUCCAUAGUUUUUAUAGCUUGCUUUGCAUACGGAUUCCGUUCAAUUUAGAAUUCGAAUCCUAGUCGUGUCUGGUUGUAACUCUUUUGGACAGGGUAUAAAUAUGGACCCUGCAGCAAUGUAACAUACACAAUCAAUCAAACUCAAGUUUUUACAUCUAUUCCAGCAUCUACUUUUUCGACGACUUCGUCAAUUUGCAUAUUUUCCUUUUACUACGAGUUCUUUGGAAUUCUUCGAGUCAACCUCAGCGAGUUCUCGAGUUCCGCGUGAAUACCUCUUGGCCGUGACAUCUGGGCGCGUCGCUGUUGUCGGGACCAAAGUAUUCGAGUUAUCACCUUUGUCGAUUGUAAGGUCAAAUCGGCUGACAUGCCUUAACAUUGAAUCGGGUAUUAGCCCUUUGUGUUUGCAGAUCUACUUUUGCAUCAACACAUCUUUUGGCAUGCCCAGUGGGACCGAGAUUCAACAUCAAGAUAAACAUGUCGAAUACCGAUUUCGACUUGGAGAACGUCAUCCCCGUGACAGAAGCCAAUCUUAGAGAUGAACAGAAGCAAGCUAUGGUGAAAACCAUGGAGGACUACAAGCAGCUAUGCUUGAAAUCCUUCGGUAUCAACAGGAGUGGCGAAGUAAUCCAGAAGGAAGCAUUGCCGAUGCCUCGGCAAUUUACUUUCGAAGCCAAUCCUGAUAAACUGCAAGAGAUGGUUGAUAGUGCUGUCAAUCGUGCUCUGAUCAAUCAAUCUGGUGUACUGUCCAAUACAGUUUUCAAUGCUUUGGCUAGAACAUUCAAAGAAGGACAAGUGCCACCAUCUUAUGUGGGUCCUGCCUAUCAUCAGCCAGGGUCAUCAUCGGUUACGGCUCUAUCAGCUACUAAAACCGUUGCGGGUACGGAAGUUACUUCCCCUCCAAGCACAUUAGGGAUGACUAAUGCGCAAUCUACACUGAUGACGACCAAUCCAUCAACAUCAGAGGGACAAGUCAAACUUGCUAUAGAUUUAUUGGCAUCGGCAAUGUCAGGGUCUGUUCCUCCUGAUUGGUGGGGAUAUGGUAUGCCCCCAGAGUUUAUGGCAAACAGCUCUGGGCCGUCUCAAGCUGCUAACAUGACAGGCAAGGCUCCUAUGGCAUCGGCACCCUCAGGCUCGCCGAUGACUCAGAAUCCCCAGUAUUCUACAUUACUACUGCAAGACCUUUUACUGGGAAUUCUCAAAUGCCAACGUUCCAGAUGCCUAACGCAUCGGCAGAUCUAAUGCCAACGUAGCAAAGGUUUACAACACAGCCAGGGUAUGUCAAUUCAAUGAUGAUGCCCAAUUAUCAGCCAUCGGCAGGGCCUACGCCGAUGAAUGUUAACAAUGGAUGGACGGGGCAGUUCGUCUUUCCACAUAUACCUCAGCAGAAUCAUCAGGCAAUGGGAUUUCAGCAGGGACCGAUGCAACCUGGAUUUCAAAAUCAAGGGUUGAUCAACCAGCCAAUGAAUCUUGGCCAGCAAGUUGGCGGUCAAUAGGCGGUGGCUAAUCCCAUGUUCCCUGGAGAUCGUGCACCGCAGAGACACGUAGAGGCUUAUCAGCAGAUGCCAGAUCCACAACCAGCUCAUCGGCAAGAUGCUGAUGCUUACUGGGCUGAUAAGAUAGCUGAGGUGAUGAGAGACCAAUUUGGUAUAAAACUCAAAGUCAACACUUACUCUUAUCGGACACCAUAUCCUCCUACAUAUGACUUAAUGCCGCUUCCAAAUCGGUACAAGGUGCCAGAUUUCACUAAGUUUUCUGGACAAGAUGACACGUCAACCAUGGAGCACGGUAAUAGGUUCAUCAUCCAGUGUGGGAAAGCUGCUAACAGAGAUGAGUUAAUGGUUUUUUUAUUCUCGUCAUCUUUGUCUGGAUCAGCCUUUACUUGGUUUAUUUCAUUACCUCUGAACUCAGUGAUUACUUGGGCCGAUCUAGAAAAGCAGUUCCACAAGUACUUCUUUUCUGGAGUACAUAAAAAGAAGAUUACUGAUUUAGUCAGGCUAAGGCAGCGCAAUGAUGAAUUGGUUGAAAGCUUUGUGCAGAGGUUACAAGAUGUUAAAAACAAAUGCUAUAGUCUGGUUCUAGAUGAUCGGCAGCUAGCCGAUUUGGCUUUCCAAGGAUUGUUGCCACACAUUAAAGACAAGUAUGCUUCUCAAGAGUUUGAAAGUCUGAGCCAUUUAGUGCAGAGGAUUUCGGAUCAGGAUAUCAAAGCUUUUGAACCUAAGAGGGCAUGGAACAAAAAGGUGUCAUUUGUCGAUGAGGCGACAAGUUCAGACUCUGAUGAAGAGCCAGUCAUCGGUUUGGCAGAGUGGGUAAAGAAUAAGAAGCCGAUGUCUUGCCCUUUUGGGCAUAAGGAACCAUAGAAGUUUGCAUUUGGUAUCACCAAAGCCGAUAGGAUAUUUGACUUUUUGCUUCACGAAGGGCAAAUUAAGUUGUCACCCAAUCAUGUGAUUCCAUCGGCAGAAGAAUUAAAGAAGAUUAAGUAUUGCAAGUGGCAUAAUGCAACAUCUCAUAGUACAAAUGAGUGCAAGGUUUUCAGGCAACAGCUGCAAUCGGCUAUAGAGCCUAGGAGAAUUAAAUUCGAUAGCUCCAAAGCUCAAAAGCCGAUGAAGAUCGACCAACAUCCUUUCCCUACAAACAUGUUGGAUGCUAAGGGAAAGACCAAAGUAUGGACUUCAGAGGCAGCUGAAAGAAGCGCAUCGGUAGAUCCUCAGUACCAGAUUACUGCCGAUGAUGCUAAAGGCAAGGGCUUGAUACAGGAAGGAACCAGCUCAGGGAGGCCUCCCCGAUCAGGCAUUGUGGCCACUCAUAGAAGGCAUCGAGAAACCUGGCAGCAGCGUGAAGAUCGGUAUCGGCGCCAAUAGGAGGAUCGUCGUCGGGAAGAAGAAAGACGCCGACAUGAGUGGAAUCGGCAUAAAGAUCACAGGAACUGUUCGUUCUUCAUCCACUGUUGGGAGCAAAACAUCAAGCUACCAACUGUUAGAGACAGCCCUGAGUGCAAUGGCUAUAAUCGGUAUGAUAGACCAAAUCGGCAGUACCAGAACGAUGAUUGGCGUUUUGAUGGGCCGAUUAGAGGAGGGGCCUCAGGUCAUGAUCGGCUGGGGGGCAGACUCAGUGUGCAUGACAGACUUGGUGAGCGUGUCGGGUAUUUUCCCAGAAACCAAGAGGAGCUUGAGGAGAUGGCGGAUGCGCGAGUUCCCGAUGAGUUCAUAUUUUGCAGAGAUGCUAAUACUUAUCGGGUGGAAUCAAGGGAAAAUCAUCGUCAGUCGGUUAGACAAGCACAACUUCCUCCAUGGUGUCUAGAGGGAUUAACUAGGACACAAAAAAGAAGGCUGCAGCGGGAACGACGAGAAGAGCUGAGUAGAGAAGAGAAUUCUGUUAAGACUGGAGAUCGGCAGCAGUCAGAUUUAAAGGAAAAGGUCCAUCAGCAAACGUUAAUAUGGUGUUUAUAUUGCCGAUGGAAUUCCUUGCGCCUUUCAGUGAUGAUGAGGAGGCGGAUUUUCUCGAUCAGAUAGCUCAGUUGGCUCUGGAUCCGAUGAUGGCUAUCUUUGAAAAGCCUGCUGAUAAUGAGAGACAACAUCUUAAAGCUUUGUUUGUCAAAGGCAGAGUUGAUGAACAACCGAUGACCAAGAUACUUGUUGAUGGUGGGGCUGCUAUCAAUAUUAUGCCGUAUGCAGUCUAUCAGAAGCUUGGGAAAGGAGAUCAGGACUUGACCAAACCAGAUAUGAUGCUAAAAGAUUUUGAAGGAAAUGUGUCUCUAGUCAAGGGAGCCAUAUGUGUUGAGUUGACCAUCGGCAGCAAAACCUUGCCAACUACUUUCUUCGUCAUCAGUGGAAGGGGUGCUUAUAAUCUACUAUUGGGGAGAGAUUGGAUUCAUGCCAAUUGUUGCAUCCUAUCUACGAUGCACCAAUUUUUGGUUUAGUGGGUAGGUGACAAGAUUGAAAUUGUCCCAGGAGAUUCUUCAUAUGUCAUUGCAUCGGCAGAAGCAGACACUUAUGAAAGGACUAGAUGCAUUUCGGGAGAAAUUUGGGAGAAGGAUUUUCUUAAAGUCACUGAUUAUGAAACUCCACCUAUCCAAGUAGUCGGUUCUGAUGAAGAGUUUUAAUGGAUAGGUUCGCCGAUGAUGGAAAAUUAGGCCAGGGGUUUACAUCGGCUAAUGAUUUAGUAGAACUAGAUAUAGGUAAUGGUGAUAGGCCAAGGCCUACAUUUAUUAGUGCUAAGUUAGAUUUUGAGUGUAAGCAGCACUUAACCGAUUUGUUAAAGGAAUAUAAAGAUUGCUUUGCUAGGGAUUAUAUCGAGAUGCCUGGUUUAGACCGAUCUAUUGUUGAACAUCGGUUACCUAUAAAAUCUGGAUAUCAGCCGCAUCAGCAGCCAGCUCGCCGAUGUAAUCUUAAUAUUCUUCCUGAUAUUAAGGCCGAAAUAACUAAACUUAGCGAAGCUAAAUUUAUUCGGCAAUGUCGGUAUGCUGAGUGGAUUCCCAAUGUUGUUCCAGUUUACAAGAAGGAUGGGAAGCUUCGUGUCUGCAUUGAUUUCAGGAAUCUUAACAAGGCUACACCGAUGGAUGGUUAUCCAAUGCCAGUUGCCGAUUUGCUAGUUGAUGGUGCGGCUGUGUUGACGGUCCUUAAUGCUCACAUUUAACCAUCAACUAAUCAUGGAAAAGGAUCUAAAUGCAACCAACACCUAGACUUAGGGUUUUAUCUGACAGAAUUCCACGAGUUUUGGUGUUUGUGUAUUUCUGCAGGGGGUUAUCAGGAAAUACGGAAGAAAGGCCCACACGUCGGGUUUACAUAGAGAUAUUAACGUGCUGCACAAUUAUCUACCAUCUAGAAGAGUCCAGAAGCCACGGGAGCGAACGGGAGACGUAACAGAGUCGGGCACUGGGCGCCCGCCCUCCCUUACUGGGCGCCCGCCCUGCCCCCUAGACCAAUCAGGGUGAAGUUCGGGGAUCAUGCUCCACCGACCUAAUACUUCAAGGAAAACCACACGAUCAAUGUCGUUUGAUCCGAUGGCCCAGAUUCAUCUGAAAAGACUAUAUAAGCAAGCCCUCCUGGCCCCUGGAGAUCAUACCUCUUCUACAGAAUCAAAGUUAGGGUUUCAAUUCUUCAUCCAAGUAGAGAGGAUCCCUCUAGUUCUUCUAUUUCUACCUCUAGUUCAUCUAGAUCUAGUUCUAGUUCAUCUAGUUCUAGUUCUAGUUCCUCUAGUUCUAGUUCUAGUUAGUUCUAGUUGUAAAUUAGAAAAUAGGGAGAGAGAAGAGGACAGCAGAGGAGGAUCCGGAUCUGUCGGAUCUUCCUCAACAUUGUACCUUUGCAGCAACUGGUUCGUUCUUCAUCGUUCUCUAGGUUCUUCAAUUCACAAUUCCUGAGUUCUUUAAUUACUUUUAUUUACAUUCAAGUUAUUUAUUGGAUUCCCGCUUGCAUCAAGUGCUCUAAUCUUUGAAACAUUAGAGUAGUAAUUAAUAGAUUAGACGUGGUGUUUAGUCUUGCAAUUACCUGGAAUUGCACCCAAUCCUGCAGAUUGUUGUGGUAGCCCUAGGGUAGUGACAGCCCUAACGGUCGACGUAUUCCACCACGUUCGGAUCGGUGUUUGUAGGACCGUAGUCAGAGCUUCCUAGCCCCCUUCUCAUCUCUUUCUGUGGUUAGUGUUCUGAUGUCCCAAAAUAGAUAAUCUUGAAGUAAUUAUUGAUUCUUAGAUCAACUAGAGAACUCUCAGGAAACUUCCUCUCUUCCCACGAAAAAUAAUUAUAUAGUUAUCCUUGGGCGAUCUUGGAUCUUAAUUAGUACACUCACGUUCUCUGUGGAAAAUCGAUACUCUAGAAUACUCCCGGGUGAAAGCUACAUCGGUAUUCGUGCGCUUGCGGAUUUUUCUGUUUGCGUUUAAAAUACCCAACAAGCUUUCUGGCGCCGUUGCUGGGGAACGGUAGCUGUGCUAGUUUCGAACCAAGUCGUCCGUGUAUCCUUUUUCUUUUCUUUUUUUACCAUACUCACCUUAUCAUUUUCACCAUACCACAUGGAUUUCACUCUAAGCAUUAAUGAGCAUGGAAUUUAUUUCAUAGCUACUUCAUUUACUCCAUGCUCAUAUGCAACAUCUUCCCAAUCCAUUGGUUUUUCCAACAUCACCACGUUCGAGAUCUCCAACCCCCUCAUCCUUUCUAUUUAUAAAAACUUUAAAAGGGCGGUUGUCGAUACAUAUCUCUAUAAUAAAUAUUGCAGAUCUCGUUGAGUUGAUCUUGAUAUAUGUCAGCAUUGGAGGGGAAACCACUUCGCCGACAUAAAUUGAUGGUUUCCCAAGGACAAGCUUAGUGUCCUAAAACAAGCAUUGAUCAGAUCGUAACAUGAGCUUUUAAUUAUUUGCAACAUUAACUUGUGUAUUAAGCAUAUAAGGAUAAUUGUAAAAAUAUUCCUUCGGGUAUUCUUGUCACUAACCUUUACAGGAUUGGAGCAAGAAGAUUGGAUGAAUGACAAGCACAAGGUAUGUCCAACCAAUCAUCAUACAACAUUGAAUUAAAUUCAUCCAAACUUGAAUUUUGCAAAAUUCAAGCUUGGGGGAGUACUUUACAUAAAAACAUCAUUUGCCAUGUUGCUAUGUUGGUUGUCCCUACCUUUGAGACAUGCUCAAUCUGUUAAAUACUAAUCACACUACUUCAUCUCCACUUGAGUAGAUCUCUAUAAAUGCUCUCAUGCUACCUUUAUUUGCUUUAGUAUAUGUCUAGGUUUGGAGUAGUUUCAUUUAUCUCUUAAUUAUGCAUGACGCUUAGUUUAGGGCUGAUGAUCUUACUUCCACGGGAGUUUAAAUUAAGCAUGAUGCUUAAGUUAAAAUGCCCUCCUAAAUCAAAUUAGACAUGGUGUCUAGGUUGAUCUUUAAGCCGAUAGUAUGCUAUAGUGGAUAUUGGAUAUUUUGUUGGACUAACCCCUGCAGGAAAACUUUCAAUAUCGACUUGGGAAGUCCUGAGAUAAACUCACAUUGGAGACAAAGAGAGAGGCACAUGAAGUUUAACAAUUUGCAUGAGGAAGGCAAAGCUCACAAGAGAUGAUCCAUGGAGGGUGCCACAAACACGAUGCACAACCCCUAAGAAAGGAAAGCUUCCACAAGGUGAUAUUGUACCAUCACUCUUCAAUUAAGGUAACAUCUUAAGGUAUGUGACUAUCACUUUUAUAAGUUUCUCCUUGGUUCUGACGUUCACAUGAAUAAAAGAGACAAACAUGUAUGAUUUACAACUCUAGAUUAACCAACCUAAUCGAUUCAACAUGUUUAGUCCUUCCACCUUUGUGAUUCCAUACUCCUAAUCAUAUGAGCUAAAAUGUUGCACACUCAAUCUUUGGAAGAUAUAUAUAUAUAUAUAAACAUAAGUAUAGAUAGAUUAUCUUUCCAUUAGGUUGAGUGAUCUGAUCUGACGAAUGUUUUAAAUGCUACACUCAUGAUCUUAUUAUCCAUCAACUGUGUCUUGCUCACUAUGCUUAAGGAUAGAGAAGAGCAAAUACACUUUGGGUUCUGUUGGUGUUUUCCACCAACAGGGCCCAUGCACUUGAUCUCUGCCUUGUCUCUAUGAGCAGGUACACUUCGAGUAGCAUAUGAAGGACUUUUACAACUCCCAGACUCCACCAAGUGAAGAACCUAGAUCUACGAGCACAAACACACAGGAGAUACUGGACACCCAGGCAAUCACUGCCCUGAGAUGCUUGAGUACGUAACUACUGGAGUAACCCCAUUGUGGAAGUAAUUACUAACCUUCUGCCAGUCAAGAGAGACAAUCCAGGACGCCCCGUCAUCCCGAUCUCCAUCAGCAUGGUGGACUUCCUAGAAGCACUCUGUGACUUUGGCUCCAGCGUCAACAUUAUGCCCAGGCUUGCAGAUCGUACGCUAAGUUUCCCAAAGGGAAUAGUGAAGAACCUCUGCAUCCGAGUUGGUACCUUGUACGCCCCAGCAGACUUCGUGGUGAUAGAAACUGGUACUGAUGAGAGGGCACCCAUCAUCCUAGGGAGGCCAUUCCUGAACACCUCGGGAGCUGUCAUCUACGCUAGUGCUGCCAAGAUCAGUUUCUACAUCAAGGGAAGAAAGGAGACGUUUUCAUUCAAGAAACAAGACUACACAAAUCCUAGAGUAAUCCCGACAUGAACCAAGGAAGAGGACCAACAGGAGGAACAAGAACAAGCAAAUGUGUACCGAGUCAGCUAAGAUGGUCACUGCAGCUCAAGGAGGUCAAGAUCGUCAACUCAAGUCACCUUUCUUGAUCAAAAAGGACGACCCAAGUAUGCCAAGCAUCCAGUGCUCCAUUAAUGGAUACAACUUCCAGAAGAUGCUUUGCGACACCGGGUCAGGCGUCAACAUAAUGGCUGCCAGUCACCUAUCAGCUCCUAUUCGGAACCAUGCCCCUAAAACCGACAUACAUUCAGCUUCAGAUGGCAGAUCAGACAUUCGGAAAGAUUGAAGGUUAUUGACAUGGGAGAAGACGAGUACGAUCCAUCCAUCAUCCUUGGAAGACCGUUCUUUAGCACCAUUAAAGCAAUCAUAUACAUUGGAACCAGAGAAGUCCACAUGCACUUCCCCUCAGAGAAGGUACGCCACUGUUUUACUGACCCUAACUAUAUAGUUGAAGACUCUAAGCAGGUCAGGACAAGAAGACGACGACGCAACCGUAACCAGAGAAGGCAAAAUCAUCAAGGACGGAUGGGUAGACUAUGAAGGAGAAGUUGUAAGGUCUGAAGACAUACAACUUGAACAGAACUAUCCUGAGGAGACCGUAGCACCGAGUCACGUGUGUAGAGAGAAGAUAGUUAUACAUGAAGAGCAGGCGCCGCCGGAACCACCGACUACGCCAUCUAGCGAAUCCCAGGACGACUGAGAAAACGGAGGGUCCCGUUCGAAGGACUUAAAAACAUUGAACGCCUUCCCAAGAGGUAAACUUGGUAGUUAUACUUUCCCUUUCAAUUAUUUUAAAAUGGUUUGCUUAGUUAAUCAGGUUCAUCUCAUCUUGAAAAGAAAAUAAAAAUGUUAAAAAAGUAAGCCCCAUGUGAGUAUGCUCAUGGCAUAAAACCCAUAAGUACAUUCACUGUGGUGGCAUAAAAAUGAAAUAAAUAUAUUCCUGUCCUAUAAAAAUAAAAUUAUAAAAAAUAAAUUUAUGAUCCUACUAAAGAGAGUAACAUUUAUUGAGGAGGCUCAACAUGAUAAAGGCUAGAUAUUUAUGCUAACACUUAACUAGUUCCACAAAGCUUUGUUUUCUAUUUGAGCUCCACAGAAUUCAAGGAUCAAAGAAGACUAGCAGACGGAGGACAUCCUAAUCGCUGUCAGGGUGCUGCUGACAUUCAAAUACACCUCCACCACCUGCUAGCUACAUCAGAAGAAAUUGCGUCAAAAUCCAGCUUGGGGGAGAGCACCCCCAUUUAUCCAGCUAAGUGUUCUACUCAUGGUUAUACUUUACUCAAAUAAUAAAAAUACACAUAAUCAUAAAAACCUAAAUAAAGAUUUUGUGCUUAUAUAUAUAUUUGCUUAGUUUGCUAAAUAAAUAAAUAAAUAAAGUUUGCUAUGAACCCUCAUGAUAAGCUCUCACAUGGAAAUGAUGAAUAGUUGAUCUGCCAUGUACCUAGUUUUCAAGUUUAAGCUUUCUCUCAAGUUUAGGCAUAACUAUUAUUAAUUAAGAUUUGCUCUAAACCUGAACUUGUGGGGAGAGUACUUGAUCUAAAGUUUAAGUCGUUAACUGAUACGAUAUGAGAAGGUUGAGCUGCUGUUUAUUUGUUCCUAGAGAUGCUAGAAUUCUGGAGAAUUUUAUCUUUGAAAAUCUUUAAAAUGUUGCAUGAUGAGUUCCUGUAUGAUGAGAGUUUAAAUUCCUACCACAACCAUAUAUACAUGCUUGUUAGACUAUGAACCAUACAUUUACUUUUUACUGCUUAUGAGCAUUGAGUGUGGUCAAGCUGUGUAGGCCCUUAGGAGCUUGUCAUGUCGUUAAAUCAAGAUUCACUUGCACGUUCACUCAUACAUGCUACUUCUACUUCGGAAGUACGCAUCCACAUAUAUCCAUCCAUUUCCAUCUCCAGAACCACCCAAAAAUAUUCUACUCCUAAUCCGGGAGAGAAUAGCCAAAAAGAUUAUCCUAUCUCUGUUCUUCCCUGUGAAAUAAAUGCUCGAGUUAUCUUGGUUACUACCACUUGCUAUAUUAUUUCAGGAGAUGAGUGCUCUAAAAAAAGGAAAAAAAAGAGAAAAAAAAGAAGAGAUACGAGGAAAUAAAAAGGGGCAAGUGCCCGGAACCUCAGAAAAAAAAGUGAGACGAGAGGUAAAAAUGGACAAGUGUCCGACAGUAGAAUUAGGGGUACAAGAUACCCACCCGAGAGAAAAGAAAAGAAAAAAAAAAUAUAGAGCAUCUCAUUCUCCUCAAAAAGUUUCAAAAGAGCAAGAAAGGUAUGUAUCCCAUCAAAAGAGCACAAGUGGAAUUAGACUUUCACCAUUGUUAUCACCAUCAUCACCAUACACCAUUCAUUUGCCACACAUGCACAUCUUGAUUUGACUUAUUGACUUGUUCUUGUGGAUCCAUGGUUUGACUAUGCAAUAAAUGUCUUGUAAGUAUGUAUUAGCUGUCUCCCACCAAUGAGCUCCAGAUAUCAAAAGCCUUAUUAGAGUAGGGUGAGAGAGAAGGCAAUGCCACUAUGCCUCAUACCAAAAAUACUACAUACUUUGAGAGAAGGCAUAUACCAUUACUGCCUUGGUAAGGAUCCAGAAAUACCACAAAAGAGAGACUAGAGAGAGUCAUACAAGGAAUCUCUGAGUUUUAUUUGAAAAUCUGCAAAAACUCCAGAGCUAUAGUUAAUCGAAGAACAAGAGACAUGGUGCUUGACUAGACUGUUCUAUCUUUUAACUACUCAAGACAGAAGUGACGGUUACAAGUUCCAUGGUGAAAGGUAAAUGAGUAAGUUUUAAGUCUUUGCAGUUUACUCUAACCAGAGAUGAGAUCUUGUUUAAACGCAUGUGUAUCUUUAAGUUAAGAAACCACUGCAGAAACACCUAUGUUCAUCUUUGCUCAGGGAUGAGCAAAGGUUAAGCUUGGGGGAGCUUGUUGACGGUCCUUAAUGCUCACAUUUAACCAUCAACUAAUCAUGGAAAAGGAUCUAAAUGCAACCAACACCUAGACUUAGGGUUUUAUCUGAUAGAAUUCCACGAGUUUUGGUGUUUGUCUAUUUCUGCAGGGGGUUAUCAGGAAAUACGGAAGAAAGGCCCACACGUCGGGUUUACAUAGAGAUAUUAACGUGCCGCACAAUUAUCUACCAUCUAGAAGAGUCCAGAAGCCACGGGAGUGAACGGGAGACGUAACAGAGCCGGGCACUGGGCGCCCGCCCUCCCUUACUGGGCGCCCGCCCUCCUCCCUGGACCAAUCAGGGUGAAGUUCGGGGAUCAUGCUCCACCGACCUAAUACUUCAAGGAAAACCACACGAUCAAUGUCGGUUUGAUCCGACGGCCCAGAUUCAUCUGAAAAGACUAUAUAAGCAAGGCCCCCUGGCCCCUGGAGAUCAUACCUCUUCUACAGAAUCAAAGUUAGGGUUUCAAUUCUUCAUCCAAGUAGAGAGGAUCCCUCUAGUUCUUCUAGUUCUACCUCUAGUUCAUCUAGAUCUAGUUCUAGUUCAUCUAGUUCUAGUUCUAGUUCCUCUAGUUCUAGUUCUAGUUAGUUCUAGUUGUAAUUUAGAAAAUAGGGAGAGAGAAGAGGAGAGCGGAGGAGGAGCCGGAUCUGUCGGAUCUUCCUCAACAUUGUACCUUUGCAGCAACUGGUUCGUUCUUCAUCGUUCUCCAGGUCUUCAAUUCACAAUUCCUGAGUUCUUUAAUUACUUUUAUUUACAUUCAAGUUAUUUAUUGGAUUUCCGCUUGCAUCAAGUGCUCUAAUAUUUGAAACAUUAGAGUAGUAAUUAAUAGAUUAGACGUGGUGUUUAGUCUUGCAAUUACCUGGAAUUGCACCCAAUCCUACGGAUUGUUGUGGUAGCCCUAGGGUAGUGACAGCCCUAACGGUCGACGUAUUCCACCACGUUCGGAUAUGUGUUUGUAGGACCGUAGUCGGAGCUUCCUAGCCCCCUUCUCAUCUCUUUCUGUGGUUAGUGUUCUGAUGUCCCAAAAUAGAUAAUCUUGAAGUAAUUCUUGAUUCUUAGAUCAACUAGAGAACUCUCAGGA
Molecule: long non-coding RNA, 62485 nt
Filed under: Sorghum bicolor (sorghum)
Lineage: Eukaryota; Viridiplantae; Streptophyta; Magnoliopsida; Poales; Poaceae
Description: long non-coding RNA (SBIC_LNC012417)
Source: RNAcentral